AAAAAUCAUCUAAUACAAAAAAAAUUAUUAAAACUGAGUGUUUAAUUGUAUAAAAAGUUAAAUGUUUAACAAAAUAUAAUUAUCACUAUACAAAUAUUUAAUUAAAUUUAUUAAGUUAUUUUUUUUAUAGUUAAAAAUUAAGUUUGUUGAUGGGUCAAUUUAUUUGGAAUAAUUUUUUUAAAUGUUGCUUGUGGGAUCAACAAUUAAAAGUAUUAUUUUUUUAUGGGAGUUUUAUCUCUUGUGCGUUAUUGAGAGUUAAUGUGCCAUUAGGAGAAGCCCGAUGGGCUUGACUUACAAAGCUGAGAGCACUUAAAUUGGUGGUCCUACAAGCCCGUAAAUGGUGACCUAUAUACUACAGCUAAGAGUUUCAAAACUCAACAAAGGCUAGUGCUAACAUCUCCUUAGUCAGAGGCAAAGUCAAAAUUUGUUCUAAAUGAGUCAAAUUUAAAUUAUAAAUUUUUGAUAGAGUUAAAAAUAUAAUUUUAUUAUUGUAUUAAUGUAAUAUUUUAUAAAUUUGAAAAGAUUAAAUUAUAAAAUUUUUGUCUUUAAAAAAAGCAUAAUUUAAUUUUAAAUUUUAGAAGAUAAAAUAUAAUUUUACAUUAAAUUAACUUGACUAAAGGGGUAAUUUUCAUUUAUGGAGGUGGUCGUGCGCCAACAAACAAUCUAAUUCCUCGAGGCAUUCUCCCUCUGUAAACAAAAUUACUCAUGAUAUGCUGAUUUUUGGUAGAGGUGAGAGAAAAAAAUCCCAGCACAACCCGGGAACAAUGCCAACCAUUGUUGAGAAUCCGAUUCACUGCCAAAACUAAAAAAUUGGACGCUCAACAAUUUUUUUUUUUAAAUAUUUUUUGAGCAAGUUAGCGAGAUUCGAUCACAAUUGUAGGAAACAAAUUAACAGUAAAUUAAAAUAAAAUGGCUUAAUCUUAAUUUAGAUCAAUUUUCUAAUUUUCUGCUUCGUCGGGAUUGUUUAUUCAAAUAACGAUAAAUUAGAGUUAGCCACUGAAAAUUAUAAGAUCAUUUUGCGGAAACAAGACAUUAAUACACGUAUAUUAGCACAAAUUUGUGUUUCAGGCAUGAUCCAAAUGCCACAGAUCAUUAACACUAGUAAGAAAACAAAUCAAUUUGUUAUUGCAACCCGUGUAGUCUAUUGGAAGAGUAUUAAAGUCUUGGUUUCGCUAAUCAAGUUCAACCUCGAGUGUUCAAGAAAAUAGAACUAUUACAUAACAAACUAACAGUUAUGGGACUUCAUUGUCGAUGAAGAACAAGCAUCAUUAACAGGCACUGACGAGACAGAUUAGGAAGAUAAAGGUGUUAUAAACUCAAAUCCUUGGUUCAGAAGAGCCCCGCACACCCAUAACUUCAGGUUUGGCAAGUUCAUUGACUGCUCACAAUCUCUCAUCUGCAGUUUUAUAUAAAUCAGUCUGCAAGUUUUGCAAUUUAAAACCUCAGCAGCUAUAUAUGGUACUGGAAUUCGCGUAAGAAUAGAAAAAGAGUAAAGGUUGACUUACAUUUAGAGUAAAUGUUAAUACAAAUCUGUCAGAAACAGUGGCCAAAUUGGAAUUCAGAACUUUGAAGUUAGUGAGGGACUCAAGGGCGUUGUAAAGUGAUAUUGCAACCCCUUCACCUUUGUUGCAUAUCAAUCUAAUGUAAAACUCUCUUUCCUCCACUUGAAACAUAUUCAACUGCAUUGUAAAGUGAAAACCAUUGUUUCAUUUCCAUGGAAAAAAAAAGGCAGUAAAUAAUAUCACAAUUAUUAAAAACAAGUGAUUGUUAUAUUACUAUUAUUAUUAUUAUUUUCUUUACCUGCAUUAUCUUCUUGCAAACUGGGUGGCUAUUGUUUCUUGCAACUCGAAUCUUAACAGGGUUUUCAAUUGAUUCUUGGUACCUUUCGGAUCCUGCCAAUGUUGCUUCAAGACCCGCAAUCUCAGCUUUUAGUUUCUUAGCCUGCAUUUGCAGGUCUUGCACAUACAAUACGGCAUCUCCAAUAAUCGAAGCCUUAUCCAUCUGCGGUAACAUAAAAUAAAGCCUUAUCCAUCGAAUUAUAUUCGCAACUGGAUCCAACACAUGUUAUACUUAUAUAUAUACGUAACACAUACCUUUGUUAUGUUAGGAACCAGGGAACGCAAUGCAUAGAGCUUCUCCUUCAUCCGACCCCUCCUCCGUCGUUCCGAGAUCAAAGUUCUCGACCGAUCAACCCUUGGUUUCUUUGUGGCUGUUGGUGUUGUGGGGGUGGUUGCCGUUGCGGUUGCGGUGGUUGUCCCGGAAGAGUUUUCCUCGUCGUUAUCAUCCUCACCAUCCUUCAUCAUUUCUCCAUAAAAAGUACUUGGCAAUGGAUCGAAAACAUAGUUAGGAUCCGGCACAAUGGUGCUUGAAGCAUCAAGGCAAAAAGUAUCCCCAGGUGUGGAACUAAUCUGCUUAUCCUCAACAAAACUACCAUUGAUAAGAUCGCAAUCAUAACCGACGUCUGCAUCUUUACUUUCACCACGAAUCAGAUCGAUGAACUGAUCAAAAUUCGGAUCAUCAAUGAAAUCAUAUAGUUCAAACUGAUUUGGGAACUGCAGAGGGUAAUUUCUCGAUGCAUCCAUUGGUUCUUAUGCACUGCCUGACUGUGAGAGGUGUAGGCUGUAUAUAUUGUAACUUUCAAAUUAAAAUCUGGACCUGCUUCACGUCAUUUCAUGGUGUGAACGGAAUCGACUGAAGAACCUAAGGCUGCCAGCGAUUUUUUUUUAAUUACUUCAAAUACUAGUAACAUAGCAACAUCAAUCAGGCCCUGGAAAUUGAUAAAAAAUAUAUAACAAAUAUAAUAUUCAACUCCAUUAAACAAACACUGUAUUGUAGUUGAGCCGAGUUUUUAGGAUUGAUGUUGACUUGCUGUUAUAUUCUGUAGGGUGACUUUUUCUUUAGAGGAAGACCGAUCUGAAUUCAGGGUUUCGCAAUUUCUGCAGAAUUACUUUAGUCAAACAUGUCUGAAUUCAAGGUUAAGCUUGAGAUGCUGAUCUUCUAACUGCUAUUAUGAGAUCAAAAUCAAUGACCAAGUUCUCCAAGUUUACUAUACUCCUCAAAUGAUCAGCAAUGACAUCAACAUUCGGUUUUACUUCUUUCUUUUUAACUUUCCGGGGAAUCUAUUUCCAGCCUCUGGUAUUCACAUUUUUGAGGUGACAUGCAGUUUUGUUUUAAUAAAGAUUUCAGGGCAUAGUUAGUUCAUCCAAAUUUCAUGGGUGUGAAUGGAAUCGCGUACUUUUGUUUAAUAAACAGUGGUUUUAAACACAAAUAAUCUACAGUUCAAACAUUUACAAGAUUAAGACAUACAUAUACAUAUCCACCAGAAGAAACAGCAAAAAUACUUGCUGCUGUCAGUACCUGUGAUUGUUAACUCAUCUACAGUCAAAUCCAAAGUUGAUAGAUUGCCUCUAAUACGUGUUGUACGCAAACAUCCAACAUAUACAAAAUGAAAACUCAAUGUCAAUAAGUUUAAUAAAACCCGACUUCGAUAUUAAGCAAACAAUCAUAGGCCGCAUGAAAUUUGCAUCAAACCUCAAAUAUUCUUUUGACUUUCUAUAGCUUGAAAUUAAGAUAACCAUAUCCAUCUCAUGCCUGGAUUGGCAUGCACACGCACAUAUAUUUUUCUUUAAAAGGGACUAUCAAAGAUGGUUCUCGAAAAAAAAUAAUUUUAUAAAUUCGCCAGAUAUAGAAACAAUGGUUGUUACCUGCACCGUAUAAUACUAACGAUUUAUUUUUUUAGAAUAUUCUAAUUUGAGGUGGGGACUUUGCUUGCAUCUCACCUGACCACUUAAUGUCUAAUAUUUUAUUUAUAGCAAGUUUAGUGCAAUUGAUAAUUUAAUUUAUGUGUUUAAUUGUUUAUUGACUAUUGCUUGGAUGCCAUACUUGUAUGUAAAUUUAUAUUAGACAAUUUUAAUUUAUUAAAUGUUGUUUAAUAAACUAAAAAUAAUUUAGUUAGUAAUAAUAUUGAUUAUUUAGUGAUACUUGAAGAACUACUGUUUAAAAUCAAGAUUUUAUUUAAAAAGAAUACCUAUUCGAAUAUUCUUAUGAGAUCAAACAGUAAUUAGUUUUUUUUUUUAUAUUUAGGCUUUGUGUAUUUUAUUUCUAAAAAGAAAAGAUCAUGAUUCCGUCAAAUAUGAAGCUUAGAAAAUUUGCAUGUGAGGAAUUCGAUGGUACUGCGCGUGGGGAAACGUGCCUUCCAUGAAGUUGAGGUGCUCUUUGGUUGAAAUAUGAAUAAAUUAAUGAAGCAACAUUGGGUCUCCACGGGCUUAAUUUAUUGUCUUUUGUAUUUUAAUGCUUAAUGUUCAAGUUUCAGGCCAGACUAUACAACAUAACCAAUUUUGACAUAGGCCAUAAGGGUUAUCUCGGCCUUGAUAUUAGCCUCGUCAAAAGUUUAUGUUGAGCUUACCUCUGAUGAUUUUAAGCUGGAAUUAACUUUGUUUAGAUAUUGUGAAUUGCGUUUUAGUUCGAUUGACAUCGAUAUUAUUAUCAAUAUAUUACAACAUAGAUUUAAGUACGGUGAAGUGUAUUAUCCUCCUAUUAAAGAAUUGAGAAGAGACUAUUGAUAGUUCUAAAUAUUGUAUAUAAAAAAAAGUAAAUAUAAGAGGAAUUCAUAAUGAAAUUAAAGUUCAAAAAGAAAAAUCUUUGUCAAGGUUUUCGUACUCCUUCCAAGAAAUAAGAAUAUUAUUCAAUUUUAAAUUUCAAUAUUCAAGUUUCAACUUAAUCCAUUCUUAACAAAUACUUUACAAUCGAACACACGUAGGUGAUCAUAUGACACGUCUUUACCAAACCAAACUCUAUCUGGCACAUCACUUUUCAAAGGAACACUAGGAGACAGAUUUAUCACAUGUGUCACUGUAUUCAAAGCUUCAGCCCAAAACGAUCUUGGCAACUUUGCAUCUGACAACAAACAUCUGACUCUCUCAAUCAAUGUUCGGUUCAUUCUUUCAGCUAAUCCAUUUAACUGUGGAGUCUUUGGUGGUGUUCUCUGAUGUCUGAUUCCCUGUCGCAGACAAUACUCAUGAAACGACCCUGUGUACUCGCCACCAUUAUUAGUACGAAUGCACUUCAACUUCUUCCCAGUUUCCCUUUCAACUGAUGCUUGAAACUGUUUAAACACCUCAAAGACUUGAUUUUUAGACUUCAAAGUGUAAACCCAUAGCUUUAUUGAACAAUCAUCAAUGAAAGUCACAAAGUAAAGUGCACCACCAUGUGAUCUUACUUUUAUCGGACCACAAACAUCUGAAUGGACCAACUCUAGCAACUCUGAUUUCCUAUGAGGAGGAUGGCUUCUAAAUGAAACUCUUCUCUGCUUUCCUGCUAGACAAUGAGCACAAUUCUUCAGUGUAGCAUUCUUUAAACCCGAAAGUUAAUUCUUUUUCGCUAAAUAGUUAAGCCCCUUCUCACUCAUGUGACUGAGUCGUUUAUGCCACAACUCAGUUGAGCUGUCAUUCACUAUCACAUUCACCGUCUCUCGAGAAGUCAAAGCUUGCAUCAAGUACAAAUUUGAGCUCUUCUUUCCUCGAGCCACAACCAAUGAGCCUUUAGUCAGUUUCUACUGCCCCUCACUGAAGGUGUUACAGAAUCCCUCAUCAUCAAACUUUCCUGUAGAAAUCAAAUUCAAACGGACAUCCAGUGCAUGUCUGACAUCCUUGAGAGUUAACUUUGUUCCAUUGUUACUCACCAAGCUAACAUCUCCCAGACCAAUAACCGAAACCAAACGAUCAUUACCCAUCUUCAAUACCCCAAAAUCACCAGGGGUAUAAGAUGUGAAGAAUUCCUUUCUCGACGUGACAUGAAGUGAUGCACCAGUAUCAAUCACCCCAACUAGUCUCGUCGCAUGCUAGGUUGACCAAAUUCUCAUCACAAAUAACUAACAGAUCUUCACGAGUAACAAUAGCAAUACGCUCGGAUUUUUCAUUGUCAUUCCGAUCGUGUUUAUCACCACCACCUUUCUUUUCUUUCUUCCACUUGAAGUAAUAUUUCUUGAUAUGACCUUUCUUACCACAAUGAUGACACUCAAGAUUCUUGUAUCUCAAUCUUGACUUGCUUCGGCUUUUAUCUCUACCCUUUCCAUCUUUGUCUCUGUUCCUCCCCCUGUUCUCGAUAACCAACACCUCGGACUGUGAUGUAGAACCCUGAGAUCUUCUUCUAACCUCUUCAUUCAACAUACCACUCUUAGCCAAAUCCAAAGUAAUAAUACCCUGUGGGGCAGAAUUAAUGAGCGAGACUCGAAAGGUCUCCCAAGAGUCUGGUAGAGUAGCAAGCAACCAAAGUCCUAAAAUCUCGUCAUCAAAUUUGACACCCAUACCAAGCAACUGAUUCAUCACACUCUGAAAUUCACUAACAUGGUCAGCUAUAGGCAUUCCUUCUUUAUAUUUCAGCGCCAUCAUUUUCUUCAGCAAAAACAACUUGUUAUUGCCCGACCUCGAAGCAUACAAGCUUUCAAGCUUCUCCCACAAUGUUCAAGCAUGUGUCUCCUGAUCAAUGUGGUUGUAAACAUUUUCUUCAACAAAUUGCAGAAUAAAGCCACACACUUGUUGAUGCUCAAAUUCCCAUUCUUCAUCACUUUUCGAAUCGGGUUUUUGAGUAGUAAAGAUCGGAAGAUGCAAAGCCUUCACAAACAACAAAUCCUUCAUUUUAUUCCGCCAAAGUUGAUAAUUUGUGCCAUUCAACAUAAUCAUCUUACUCGUAUUAAUUUCCAUAAUUAUCUGACACAAUAACCAAGCUCUGAUACCAGUUUGUUGGGAAGAAACUGAAGAACCGAAACAAAGCGAAAACACAACCGGUGUUCUUUCUCACCCUAUAACUCCUGUCAAAAAUUAUGGCAAGCACAAUAGCACAAAAUAUGUUCUCUAGCAACCUUAAUCAACCACAAAUCGACUAAUGUAACCACAACAAAAAUAAAUAGACACCGGUAUUUUUACGUGGAAAACCCCUCUAAAUCAAGGGUAAAAACCACGGGACUUUAGAGUCCGAUCAAGAGCUCCACUAUCAUCAAAUGUUCAACUACAAGAUCACAAUAUCAAGCCUACAACAAGCAUUCAACUCCAACAAGGCUAACAAUAUGUAAUCUUUAGCAAAAAAGAGAAAAAUGAGAGAAUAUCACCAAAAACGCAGCUGCUGAAAAACGGGUAUUUUCGAUGCUACAAGACUCGGAUGAAAAAUCCGACCGUACAAAGUCAAGAACACCUUAUCGCCUAGCUGCUGUCCAAAAAUUAGCUCAAUCGAACCGCGGAUGAAUCUUCGAUCGAAGAGUUGAUCACUGCUGCACCAAACUUGAAAAAUUAAUUUUUUUCUUCUCUCUUUCUCUCUGACGAGCUUCAAUCUCGCUCUGUGUUUAAUUUGAGAUUUUUGUCUCAAUAAAAUGCUGCCCACAUCCCACACAUAAAAAGCCAAAAAAAAUUGGCUUUUGACAAAACCAAAGAAGACAAAACAUUGUGGCAGAAAAUAUGGGUUUCCCACCUAACACAUAGGAAGUUCCAAUAUGUAAACAAAAGCUAUACAAUAAAAUCACUCUAUACCCCAAGCUAUACAAAUUCUAUUAUUUACAAUCUCAUCAUAUCUAAUUCUAGGAUCAAAUAACCUCAUACGAACUGCAGCUUUAAUCUUCUCCAAUAUUACUUGCUCUGACAAAUGAGUGUUAUAAAAAAAUCUAUAGUUUCGUUCCCUCUAUAUCUUGUAAAAGAAAGCUCCCCAUGCCAUUUGCAUUGAUCAAUUAUUCUAAUACUUGAUAAAUCGAUAUAUAAUCUAGUUUAAAUAAACACUAAUUGCUUGUAAUUGUUGACUAGAAUUAGAUUUCUAUUUUUUCAAGCUAUUAAUAAAUGGAAUCUUAGAUGCUUUGUUAUAAGAUUGUUUUAAAUAAUGAAAAAUGAAAAUAAUUUCGACAAGCUUCACCGUGGUUAUAAAAAAGGUAAAAAGAAAUAAGUAUGACGUUGGUAAUUAUAACCAAUUUAUUAAAUAAAAUUAAAUUUAUCUUUUUUAUGGAUGAUCAAAUCUAAAUUUCCAUCAUAUUGAUUAAAGAAAUAGAACUAUCACCAAUAUUUGUGGGUUAAACUUUGCUCACUGUUACAUACAAAAAGAAAAUAUGUUUUGAGUGGAAAUUUAUUUUUAUUAGAUUUGGCACCCACUGUUAUUAGGUAACGAUUUGUGCAAUUACACAAAACAUUUAUAACAUUUUAGGUGAUUAUAUAUACAAAGGGUAAUAACUUUAUACACAACUUAUGAAAUUUUUAAACUUCAUAAAUAUAGUUAAAAAUGUGAUAAGUGUCCUUUAUAUAUGUAAUUUUUAAAACUUUUUACUAUACCUAUAGAUCACAUGUCUUACCCUAAACUUACAUGUGGAGUUUAAAAAAACUCCACAAACCAUAUAUGAAUAUAAUUUUUUUAUACAAAACAUUACUUAAUUAUACAAAUUAAAUAAUAUUUUUUUAAUACAAUAUCUAUUUCUACCUAUAAUGUUUCGAACUCUUAAAUUGAAAUAAAAUACACGUAUAAACGUAUUCGAACACAAAUUCUUUUGAUUAUUAUAAUAACAACACUACCAACUGAAUUAAAGUUUAAUUAACCAUAUUAGAUAAUUUUUAUGUAACAUAAAAUAUAAUAAUACUUAUAAUAGCUUAGGCAAGUUAGAGGUGAUGAAAACAGAAAAGUGAGCUCUUAUUGAAAUUUUGUGGAACUUUAUAUUCUGUGAAUUACAAAAGAAAAGUAAAGUCUCAAUAACAACGCGAAUAGAACGAUUCAAACCGAAGUCAUACUUGAAACUAUAAACACCUUAACUAUUAAGCCAACACAUACAUUAGAUUCAAAUUUGAUUUGAUUUGCAUGAGAACGUGAGGAAUGAUGAGCCCAUGUUUUUGUACUUAAUAAUUUUUCUUGUUCGUUUAUAUAAGUGACAAGCACUUUGUGUAUUAUGAAUCUGCAAUACUACAGGGAUAGCAUAUGACAACUACAUCUAGAAAUUGCAACCAUGAAUAUGGUUCUUCGGCCCAUACGUUCUUUGCAUCUGAACUCAAUCAUUUUCUUCUCCUUAUCCCCUUAAUCAUUCAAAAUUAAUGGUGCGGGAAUAUAUGUUUGAGAUGAAUAUUUAAUAUCAAUACACCCGUAUUUUAACUUUUAUAGAUUUAAAGGAUUACUUUUAUUGUUAUUUAUAUUUAUACUUAAAUAUCAGACACGGAAAAUCUUUUAAAAAACAAAUAAUAGUAACACAUUACACAUGUGCUCCAGCUCGCGUUCGCCAAAAGUGAAUCAAUAGGGUUCUAGCUGGCGUGGCUUCGAUUUUCUCCAAGAAAAAGAAAUUAUAUUAAUGGAUCCAAAUCUAAUAAUAAUAAUAAAAAUAAAAUAAUUUUAUUAUUAUUUUUUUAGUAUAACUUCAAACUAUUCGUAAUGAAAAUAUCCAUAAAAUCAAUGUCGUAAUUUUAUAAUUUUUAAUAAACUAUAACUAACAAGUAUUUGAAGGAAGGAUGCGGAAUCCUUUAUCUACCUUUCAAACUUCAUUUAAAUCAUUCAUUGAAUUCAAAUUUGUUAUAUAUUGGCUGUGCAGUUAAAAUUUAACUAUAAUUGUAAAAUUUUCAGUUUUAUUAGUAUGCAAAAUAAAUAUAAAAACAUAUUUGAUCAAGUUCAAUACAUAGUAAAUAAAAAAUCAGACAGAAUUGAAAUUAAUCUAGAUAUAACUAGCUAAAGCUAAUAUAAGCUAGACAUACAUACAUAUUAUGUACAUGUUUAUGUACUUUAUGCACAUUUCAUAGAUGCACUACAGCAAAAUUGACUUUUAGCGGCGUUUUUUAAGGUCUUUAAGCCCCGCUAAAACUAUUUGCGGCGUUUUUACAAGCGCUGCAAAAAACGCCGCUAUAAACGGCGCCACAAAAGUUUGUGGCGUUUAAUUUUAAAAAAAAUAAAAUAUUAUAAAAGUCAUGAAAAAUAUAAAAAAUUUAAAAUUCAUUAUCAAAAUAUUGAGAAGAAUAAUAUCCAUGAUAUAAAUAUAAAAAUUUUCUAUUAAAUUUUUAACUAAAAAUAUUAAAAUAAAAAUAAAAAUUUAGAAUCAAAACUAAAAUAAAUAAUUAAAUUAAAUUAAAUAUAAAGAUAUCAAUGAAAUAAGGACUUAGUUCAUAACCAUGUAAAAUAUAAGAUAUUAUCAUCAAGAUAUCCGAAAAAGUUGUCAAUAUAGAAACCCAGUGCUCUCACCAGGCUUUAAACAACCUUACAAAUGCCCAGAGCAAAACAUUUACAGGGUCAAAAUCUCACAAUGUGUGGAAAUGCAGCUCUUAGCGAUGCCAAUCUCCGUUCACUGCCACAAAUCUCACCAGAAGCUAUGUAAAUCUGAGUUUCCUUAUCGAAACCUAAUGCUUGCAAAACUAGCAUCGCUUCUUCGGGUGUCAGAGGACACAACCCUUGUUGUCUCCUCUCUUCAGACAUUAUCUCUUUCUCUCUCCACCAAGGGUAUGCGUACCUGAAAGAAAGGGGUAACUACCUAGUUACAUUUCAAUAUCAUUGCGUCCUGAUUCUUGAAACUGAUAAUAUUAAGAUCACAAGAUACUUCAUAGAUUUAAAAGUGCAGAUUAAUAUCUUGUCAUCACUAGUGCAAACAUUUGAUGCAACUCAUAAAAAACAAGGCAAGGGUGCACCAUGGUCAUACUUUGGUUAUUUGCCUACCAACAGCAGAAGGCAUCAUACUGUUAUUUUUAUUCCCUGUCUGACAUUAUACUUUAGAGAAGUUCUCAUAUCUAAGUCGCAGCACACAGAUUUUCUAUCUUAUUUGUAGGAUGUGUGAAUGCUGGGGUUCACUAAUCACUACUUUGUGUCUCCUAAACAGAUGGUACACCACUUUUUGCUAUGAUAAUUUGAGUGUUCUGACAUGAAUAUUUUAAGCUAAAAAUAGUAAUUAAUAACGAGCAACCAAACCUGUUCUAAGUAGUACUUUUCAUUUGACCAGCUAACAGGAGACAUCUGAAAAGCUUGAAACCCAUAUUUCCUAUUAAACUUCUUUGGCAGCCUUUUGAUAAUCCGAACUUCAUCCAUUAGAGAAUCAAUGAAAUGGCUCACAUAAAAAAUGUCACCAAAAUCACUGCCAAACAGAUCAUGAGUCAAAGACAAUUUACAGCAGCUGAGAAAGAACUAAACAACCUUUCCAGAAUUAUAAAUUUACCUAGGGUCCGCCCAGAAUGAUGUCUUAUCAAGUUUUGGAACAACCAAAGUGAGAUUUAAAAGUCGAGCAACGAUUACCAUGUCACAGAUCUAAAAAGGCUUAAUCAGCUUAAAUUAAUAACAUAAUGUUGAAUAGAAGAACAAGGAAAAGAUGAGCUAGAGGAAAGACACAGACCGCAGCACGCAUUUGAUUCAAGCCCCCAUUGCAUGAAACUUUGAGAAAACCAUUACUUUUAUAGUUUCCUGCAAAAUGCAAAUGCAAAAGAAUGAAGGUCUUACUUUUACCAAAAGAUCAAACUGAGAAAGCAAAAAUAUUUCCUUCAAUAAAAUUCAGGGACACAUACAAGGUACCAAUGUUUAUUAUUUUUUCUUUCUGAAAACCCAUUGUUUCAGAAAACCUAUUUCUUCUUCCAAUUACACUAGAAAAAGGGAAAACCAUGUAAACCCUAAACCCUAGUAAAUGAGAAAUGAAAUUACCUCUAAGUUCUUCGACCAAAUCCUUAGAAAAAAUAGCACGAAACCCAGUAUACCUCGUUGUACAAACAGAGUAUAUUCUCUUUUUCGCUUCCUCUUCAUUACAAGAUCAGAACAAAUAAAAAAGAAAAAUAAAACUCAAAAUUUAAUGAAAUCUGAAGGAAUAAUUAUAAUUUAAAAACCUGCCGACAACAGAAGCGAGGGUUUUAACAUAGGUAUCGAUCAUUUCUUCUUUCAAAGGUUUUGGGGGUUCUGGAAAUUCCAAAAUGAUAAGCCAAUGUUCGGAAUCACGGCCAUAUAGGAAAACUGACGGUAAUCGGGAAGAGUUGUUCAAAGGGGAGUAGUGUAACACCCCGUACCCGAGACCGUUGCCGGAGUCGGACACGAGCGGUUCACAGACUAAAUUCGUUUACUAUCGCAGUCCAUUUUAAAAAUUUCCAGGCAGUUGGCUAACUGCGUCACUGUCACCUUAAAAAUCAUAUCUUGAGUUUCACAACUCGAAAAUCAGUUUCGUAAUUUUUCCAUAAAACUAGACUCAUAUGCCCAUCUACAUAUUUUUUUCUAGAAUUUUUGGUCGGGCCAAUUAGUACAGUUUAUUCGUUAAAUUCUCCCCUGUUACAGGGUGCGACUACACUGACCUUCAUGCAUUACGAUUUGGAUAUCUCCCUGCACAGAGUUUCAAUACUGAUGCCGUUUGUUUCUAUAGAAACUAGACUCAGAGAGGAAUAUAUACAUAUAUGGCAUGACUCCUAAUUAUCUCUGGUUAAUUUAUAAUGAAUUUCCAAAGUCGGAACAGGGAAUCCAGAAACCGUUCCGGCCCUGUCUCACGAGAACCUGAAUAUCUCUUAACAUACUGUCCAUAUGAUCGUUUCGUUACUUUCCUAUGAAAAUAGAUUCAUCAAGGUUUGCUUACAUAAUUUAUUCACUAUUUAAUUCCAUUCCUACUAUUUUUAGUGAUUUUUCACAUCCACAUCACUGCUGCUGCCAGCAUCUGUUUUUUUUUUUAAGGUAAACUUUACCUAUUUCAUGAUCCUCCAUGGAUCAACUAGAGUUUGUCAUACAUAUUCCAAAAGUGAUCAAGAAUAACCCUUCCCAUGGCUAACCGUUACCAACAUUUCCAUACCUCUCGACGGACAACAUACAAAACGAUUAUAAUGCUAUGAUCAAAGUAUAUUUAAGCCAUUUUCGCAUGGCUAUCCAAAUUUACACAAAACCGAAGGGUACAUGACCAACAACAAAAGGGUAGUCCUAUACAUGCCAUUUCAAAGUUCAACCAAAAUUGUACCAAAAGGGGGCUUUGAUAAUGUGGGAGACUUCGACUUCAAAAAAUCCCGAGUCCGAUAGCUGACGAACCAAAAUCUAUAAAACAGAGAUUCAAAGAACGGAGUAAGCAUUUAAUGCUUAGUAAGUUUUAAGCAGUGUCAACAGAUAACAAUCAAAUUAUAACAUAGUUGUUCGUAUUUUUUUAUUUCACUCUUCCUUCGGGCAUACCAUCCCUUUACCGAAUAUGCACAUCUCAUCAUAUACAAUAGGCAGAUAAACUUUCACAUAAAAGUGAGCUCAUGUGACAUAGAUAUAUCGUAUGAUUUCACAUAACCUCUCACACUGAUCCGAUGUCACAUAAGCAUAUAAAUUUUAUCUUAUAACCAUUUUUGUACAAUUUAUAAUGAUUUUCUAAAUACAGAACAGAGGAUUACAGUGUCAUUCUGCGCUGUCUCACACAAAUUUAAGUAUCUCAUUAUCGGAGAUUCUUUUGCUUACACGGUUUCUUUUAUAAGAAACUAGACUCAUUAAGAUUUAAUUUCAUGUCUCAUUCAGCCUCUAAUUCAAAUCCAUAAAUUUAUGGUGAUUUUCUAAAGUCACGUUACUGCUGCUGUCCUAAGCAGACUAUUUCAAAUUACCCUUAAAUUCCCAAGCUCAAACACUUAAGAACUUACCAUUUGAACUUAGAACAUAUCAUGGCCACAUCAUAUCUUAUUAAAUCAACUCAUCAUGUCCUAUUAUAAUUGAAUUUACUCAACAUUUAAUCACUUAAAACUUACCUCGGAUGUUGUCGAACGAUUUCGGCGGCUAUUCGACCACUUUUUCCUUCCCUUUAUCGGAUUUAGUUCCCCUUUGCUCUUGAGCUUAAUUCAAACAAAUUUAACUCAUUAAAGUCUCAUUUUGCUAGCUUAUGGCCGAAUAUACACAUAACUUAUGUACUUAUUCAUGUGGCCGAACAUACAUGUCUAUGUUGGGGCCGAUUGCAUCACAACACCAUACCAUUUCAAUUUUUGGUCAUGGUUAAACAAAGAACUUAAUGUCUCACUCAAAAAUGCUAAAAAGAAGAUUCAAGAAUCAUCAAUCCACCAUCACAUGCACCAUUACAGAGCUUCACUUUUAGCAUGCAAAUGAUAUCAACACCAAUCCACCUUGGCCGAAUAUCAUCUCCAUGACAUAGUAAAGAUUUGAACCAUGGGCUAUUUAGAACUCAAGCUAACUACUAAAACAUGCAUGCAUCUCAUGGAACAUCAUCAAACAUACCUUAGUCUAUCAAACCACCAUAGCCGAUUUCCUCAAAGCUCUUUUUCCUUCUUUUUCUUUCUCCUAUUCGGCCAAGAACAACAUGAGAGCCUUUCUCUUCUUUCUUUUUUUUUGUCAUGCAUGAGAAUGAUGAACACAUUUUUUUCUCUUUGUUUUCUUCCUUCAAUUUCUUAUUAGUUUAUUGCCAAUGCUUCUUAUUUUAUUCUUCCAUUAACACAACAUGUUUCAUGAUAUGUUUUGCCCAUGCUUCUUAUUUUAUUUUUCCAUUAACACAACAUGUUUUGCCCAUCAUCCCUUGUCAUGCACGAAUGCUCUUCGGGGUUUAGCAUGGAUAUAUCACUAGCACGAAUGCUCUUCGGAACUUAGCCCAGAUACAUCACUAGCAUGAAUGCUCUUCGGGACUUAGCCCGGAUACAUCACUGGCACGAAUGCUCUUCGGAACUUAGCCCGGAUACAUCACUAGCAUGAAUGCUCUUCGGGACUUAGCCCGGUUAUAGUAACUCGCACAAAUGCCUUCGGGACUUAACCCGGAUUUAGUAACUCGCACCAAUGCCUUCGGGCUUAGCCCGAAAUUAGUAACUCGCACAAAUGCCUUCGGAUCUUAGUCCGGAUAUGGUCACUUAGCACAAAGCCUUCGGGACUUAGCCCGGACAUCAUUCGAAUAACCAUGCACAUUUAACAAUAAAUCAUGACACAUUCGUAUUUCAUUUUCAUUAGCAAAACUCAAACACAAGACACUUAUCACUCUUGCAAUUUCGGCUCAAUAGCCACACACAAAGAGCAUGAUUUUGAUUUGCUUAAAACAUGAUCUAAUCAAAUCAUAAUUUAAGCUCUAUUACUCAAGAACUUACUUAUGUUAUACCCUUCUCAAUAUUGACACAUCAUAAGCAUGUCUCAGUCCUCUCAAUACCAUCUGCUACAGCUCGAUCGGGAUCGGAAUUCAUUACAAUAAAUAAACACAUUUUCAAUUGUCAGAAAUCACCACACUAUCAAAUAUUCACAUAAUGGCAUGUAUAGCUAGACCCAAACGUAUUACGGUAGUCCUAGAAUCGACUAAACCGUAGCUCUGAUACCAAUAAAAUUGUAACACCCUGUACCCGAGAUCGUUGCCGGAUUCGGACACGAGGGGUUCACAGACUAAAUUCGCUUACUAUCGCAGUCCAUUUUAAAAAUUUCCAGGCAGUUGGCUAACUGUGUCACUGUCACCUUAAAAAUCAUAUCUUGAGUUUCACAACUCGAAAAUCAGUUUUGUAAUUUUUCCCUGAAACUAGACUCAUAUGCCCAUCUACAUAUUUUUUUCUAGAAUUUUUGGUCGGGCCAAUUAGUACAGUUUAUUCGUUAAAUUCUCCCCUGUUACAGGGUGCGACUACACUGACCUUCAUGCAUUACGAUUUGGAUAUCUCCCUGUACAGAGUUUCAAUACUGAUGCCGUUUGUUUCUAUAGAAACUGGACUCAGAUAGGAAUAUAUACAUAUAUGGCAUGACUCCUAAUUAUCUCUGGUUAAUUUAUAAUGAAUUUCCAAAGUCGGAACAGGGAAUCCAGAAACCGUUCUGGCCCUGUCUCACGAGAACCUGAAUAUCUCUUAACAUACUGUCCAUAUGAUCAUUUCGUUACUUUCCUAUGAAAAUAGAUUCAUCAAGGUUCGCUUACAUAAUUUAUUCACUAUUUAAUUCCAUUCCUACUAUUUUUAGUGAUUUUUCACAUCCACAUCACUGCUGCUGCCAGCAUCUGUUUUUUUUUUAAGGUAAACUUUACCUAUUUCAUGAUCCUCCAUGGAUCAACUAGAGUUUGUCAUACAUAUUCCAAAAGUGAUCAAGAAUAACCCUUCCCAUGGCUAACCGUUACCAAUAUUUCCAUACCUCUCGACGGACAACAUACAAAACGAUUAUAAUGCUAUGAUCAAAGUAUAUUUAAGCCAUUUUCGCAUGGCUAUCCAAAUUUACACAAAACCGAAGGGUACAUGACCAACAACAAAAGGGUAGUCCUAUACAUGCCAUUUCAAAGUUCAACCAAAAUUGUACCAAAAGGGGGGCUUUGAUAGUGUGGGAGACUUCGACUUCCAAAAAUCCCGAGUCCGAUAGCUGACGAACCAAAAUCUAUAAAACAGAGAUUCAAAGAACGGAGUAAGCAUUUAAUGCUUAGUAAGUUUUAAGCAGUGUCAACAGAUAACAAUCAAAUUAUAACAUAGUUGUUCGUAUUUUUUUAUUUCACUCUUCCUUCGGGCAUACCAUCCCUUUACCGAAUAUGCACAUCUCAUCAUAUACAAUAAGCAGAUAAACUUUCACAUAAAAGUGAGCUCAUGUGACAUAGAUAUAUCGUAUGAUUUCACAUAACCUCUCACACUGAUCCGAUGUCACAUAAUCAUAGGAAUAGUCUCAUAGAUUGCUCUCGUAUGCAUCACAUAACUACCUUAUGAUUUAGUGCAAAUCAAGCUCACAUAUAAACUUGGAGUACAUACUUGUUUAACCUUUCGCAUUGAAUAUAUUUAUAAGCAAUUCUUAUUACGAAGUCUUACCCGGACAUAAUCUCCACACGAAGUUAUCGGGUCUUACCCGGACAAAAUCCCCACACGUAGUCAUCGGGUCUUUAGAGCUCGGAUAUAGUACGAGCACGAAGCUUACGGACAUUAAUCAGUGAUAAUAUUCUCGCAUAAAGCCUGCGGGGUUUUAACCCGGAUAUAGUACUGACACAAAUGCCCUUCGGGACUUAUCACAUUUAUACACUUUCACAUCCAUCACGUUGGCCACUCGGCCCUGUCGCAUAUAUACACUUUCACAUUCAUCACAUCGGCCAUUAGGCCUUAUCACAUAUAUACACUUUCACAUUCAUCACAUCGGCCAUUAGGCCUUAUCACAUAUAUUCACUUUCACAUUCAUCACAUCGGCCAUUAGGCCUUAUCUCAUAUAUGCAUGUUCACAUCCAUCACAUAGAAUCCUAAAUCAAAAUAUAGAUUUUCAUGUAUUCACAUCACAAUUAUCCAAAUAUACUUCACAUACCACAUAUACUUUCACGUAUACACACUGUCUUGGCUGAAUCUACAUCUAUCAUUUUCCAAUAUCACAAUUUAGAAUUCACGUAUGGGUUUAAUCAAUAGCUUAUGAGCAACUAAAACAAGUUUAUCAAGGUUUACAACACAAUCUCAAAUUCAGCACAAGCUGUUUUUCCUGAGCAAUAGUCACUAAAUUAUUUAUAACUGGAGCUAAAAAACUCCAAAUCACUUUCCGUUAAUUUUUCCUGAAUAUAGACUCGUAUAUCUUCCAUCCAUAAAAUUUCCAGAAUUUUAGGUUUGGCCAAUCAAUACCAGAUUUUUCUUAAAGUUUCCCCUGUUUCACUGUUUGACUAAUAUGACCACUCUUCACUACGAAUCAAAUUUCUCAUUUUACAGAAUUCAAAAUGUGUUGUAUUUGAUUUCAUUUGAAACUAGACUCAUUAAGGAGUCUAAGCAUAUAAAUUUUAUCUUAUAACCAUUUUUGUACAAUUUAUAAUGAUUUUCUAAAUACAGAACAGAGGAUUACAGUGUCAUUCUGCGCUGUCUCACACAAAUUUAAGUAUCUCAUUAUCGGAGAUUCCUUUGCUUACACGGUUUCUUUUAUAAGAAACUAGACUCAUUAAGAUUUAAUUUCAUGUCUCAUUCAACCUCUAAUUCAAAUCCAUAAAUUUAUGGUGAUUUUCUAAAGUCACGUUACUGCUGCUGUCCUAAGCAGACUAUUUCAAAUUACCCUUAAAUUCCCAAGCUCAAACACUUAAGAACUUACCAUUUGAACUUAGAACAUAUCAUGGCCACAUCAUAUCUUAUUAAAUCAACUCAUCAUGUCCUAUUAUAAUUGAAUUUACUCAACAUUUAAUCACUUAAAACUUACCUCGGAUGUUGUCGAACGAUUUCGGCGGCUAUUCGACCACUUUUUCCUUCCCUUUAUCGGAUUUAGUUCCCCUUUGCUCUUGAGCUUAAUUCAAACAAAUUUAACUCAUUAAAGUCUCAUUUUGCUAGCUUAUGGCCGAAUAUACACAUAACUUAUGUACUUAUUCAUGUGGCCGAACAUACAUGUCUAUGUUGGGGCCGAUUGCAUCACAACACCAUACCAUUUCAAUUUUUGGUCAUGGUUAAACAAAGAACUUAAUGUCUCACUCAAAAAUGCUAAAAAGAAGAUUCAAGAAUCAUCAAUCCACCAUCACAUGCACCAUUACAGAGCUUCACUUUUAGCAUGCAAAUGAUAUCAACACCAAUCCACCUUGGCCGAAUAUCAUCUCCAUGACAUAGUAAAGAUUUGAACCAUGGGCUAUUUAGAACUCAAGCUAACUACUAAAACAUGCAUGCAUCUCAUGGAACAUCAUCAAACAUACCUUAGUCUAUCAAACCACCAUAGCCGAUUUCCUCAAAGCUCUUUUUCCUUCUUUUUCUUUCUCCUAUUCGGCCAAGAACAACAUGAGAGCCUUUCUCUUCUUUCUUUUUUUUUGUCAUGCAUGAGAAUGAUGAACACAUUUUUUUCUCUUUGUUUUCUUCCUUCAAUUUCUUAUUAGUUUAUUGCCCAUGCUUCUUAUUUUAUUCUUCCAUUAACACAACAUGUUUCAUGACAUGUUUUGCCCAUGCUUCUUAUUUUAUUUUUCCAUUAACACAACAUGUUUUGCCCAUCAUCCCUUGUCAUGGCCGGCCACUAGUACUUAAAUGGGGGGAAAUUGACAUGCAAGUCCACCCCUUUGAUUACAUGCACUAUUAGGCCACUUGCAUUUGCCUAGCACAUUUCUAAAUUUUCUCACAUAAGUCCUAUCAACUAAAUUCACAUGCAAUUAACUAAAUCGAAGCUUAAAACUUUCACACAUUUAUAUUCACAUAUUUUAGGCAAUAAUUAUCACAUUCAAAUAAUUUGGUGACUCGGUCUAGCGGUCCCGAGAUCGCUUUCCGACUAGGGUCACUUUAGGGGUGUCACAAGUAGUCGAACCCGGAUGUCUUGGUUCGGGUCUGUAUUUUGGUUGAAUCGGGGAUGAAAAUUCACAAUUUCAUUUAUAGAAAAAAGUUGAAAAUAAGGAUAUACCUGGACAAUACCGGUGUGGUCUCUGAGAUUAAAAAAGGUAAGGUCGCCAUGGACCCGGUGGAGAGCGACCCAGCCGCAAAGACGGACCCGAAAACCCACAUCUUGAUUAGACAAAUCACCACAAUAAGCGGUACAAGAGACCUAACGGAGAGAGUCAGAGAGAGGGGGUAUGGGGGUAGGAGUUUCAGGGGAAACGGAAGGAGGAGGAGAUUGAAAAGUGGAAGCAGAAAUAGAGGAAAGGGUUCGGGUUCGACGGUUCCUUGGAAGCGAUUUUAGAGUUAGAAUGGAAGGGAAAACAGGGAGAGCUCUGGCGCGAAAGGAGAGGAUAAGGAAGGAUUUGAGAAGCACAGACAUUGUGUUCUUAAGGCUUUUUGAGGAAAGUGAGUGAAAUGGGGGUUCGGGUAAUCUUUUAGUUUAGGGAUAUAAGCAGAAAACACAGGGUUUAAUGGAUUGGGUGCUGGCGUGCGAAGCACGUGGCUUCUAUAUUGUUUCAAAAAUGGACUUUAAAAAUCCGUUUAAAGAUCGUUCCCAAUGGCUUUUCUCUAGUGCAACAGCUUGAUUCUCAAAUGCCUGGGCUUAUCAAAUUUUGCGGCGUUUUCACUAAAAACGCCAUUAUAUUAAUUUUAAAAUUUUUUUAACAUAUUUUUUUAUUUUUUCUCUUUUGGAAUUUUUUUUUAAUUUUGAAUAUUGAACUUUUUAAUUGAAAUAUGGACUAAAAUAUUAAUUUUUAAGUUUUUUAAUUUUUAAUUUUUAAAUUUUAAAUUUUAAAUUUUAAAUUUUUAAAUUUUUAAAUUUUUAUUUUUUGAGUUUAUUUUUUAUUUCGAUUUAAUGUGUAAUUGUAGACAUGAAAUUCUAAUUGUGGUUUAAAUGUAUAGUUAAAACUUUAAUUUUGAUUUAAUCAUACACAUUUAAAAAAAUAAAUACAUCAAUAUAUUUUUAUAUUGAAUAAAUAUAAAUAUUUAUGUAUCCAUGCAAUAUAUAAAUAUAAAAUGAUGUUAUAUCAAUAAUUGUGUAAAAAAAAUGAAAAAACGUGGAGACACAAAUAUAUAUUUUAAAAAGAAAAUGAGUUACAAUUAAGAAACGUGGAGACACAAAUGAGUGCAGAGAAUUUUCGUUCGUAUAAAUAAAUAUAUAUUUUAAUUAAUCAGUAUAGAUAAAUAUUAAAAUAGUAUAAACAAAAAACUAUUAAUAAAAUUUAAAGGUAAACUUAUCAUUUAAAACAUUUUUCACAAAAUAUCCCUUCAAUCCAUUAAACAAUAUAACACCUUAUUAAUAUAUAAAAAAUAUUUUUUUAUCAAAAUCAAGAUAUCUAUUAUCGAUAACAAUAAUUAAUUAUAGGGUUUAGGAUUUAAUUAUUGAAUAUGAUUCAAUUGAGAUUAACAUACUAUAUACCCAUGGCCAUUAAACCUUAAACCAUAAAACCCUAAACCAUAGACCUUAAACCUUAAAUAUUAAACCGUAAACCAAAAAAUAAAUUUAAUCAAUAUUAAGUAUUGCUUCCAUAAUUUAUUAUAUGAACAUAAGCUUUUACAUUAAUAUAUAUGUAUAUACACAUCAACAUCCAUGUGAUGUUUUUUGGGGUUUAAUGUUUUAGAAGUUAUAGUUUAAGGUUUAAGGUUUUUAGGAUUUAGGGGUUAUAGAUCAGGGUUCAUGAUUUUUUUGGGGUUUAGGGUUUUAGGGGUUAUAUGACUUUUAGCGGCGUUUUAUCAAAAGCGCCGCUAAUGCUCUAACUUUUAGCGGCGUUUUACCGAAAGCGCCGCUAUUGCUCCGACUUUUAGCGGCGUUUUACCAAAAGCGCCGCUAUUGCUCUGUUUUUAGUGGCGUUUUAACAAAAAGCGCCGCUAUUGCUCUAUUUUUAGUGGCGUUUUACCAAAAACGCUUCUAUUGAUCUGUGUUUUACAAUUUUUGUGGCGUUUUGAUAAAAACGCCGCUAAAACCCUAUUUUCCUGUAGUGAUGAAAAUCUAGAAUGAUUGUAUUAUUUUUUUACUAUAUUAUUAUUAUAAAUUUUGAUCAUAUCUAUUUUUUUAGAUAAUGUUUAAAUUUAUCUAUAAUUAUUUUCUAAUUUAUAAAUAGGAAAAUAAUACACUUUAAAAUACUAAAAAAACUUGCACCCACCUCCAUAUGUCAAUUAAGUUAAGGUUCAAGGUUGAAUCCCACAGUUAUCUAUUAAUUUAAAAACAAGGUUUUGGGUUAUAUUUACCGAUAGCAAAAUAACCCUCUCAUGUCUCAUCUGAGUAAUUAAUAUUGGAUGGAUCCAUCAUUUUAUGAAAUUGGCAAAGAAAAAUGAUAUCUUAUAAAAAAAAUCCGGAAAGAUUAUUUUUUGGCCCUAUCAUAGCUCACCGAAUAUCAGCUUGUUUAUUGUUGUCUUCCUAACUUGAAGCACGUAACAAACAUCGGAUAAUGUAAGAAAUAUAUAGUACUUAUUAUAUAUAUAUAUAUAACCUUUCAUUUCCAUUAAAUCCCUACCUUUUUUAUUAGUUUUGAUAAUUAACGUAUUUGUGUUAUAUUCAUAUUAUUCCUUUAUGUGUUAUAUAAAUACUUAAAUUUUAUUUUUAAUAUAUUAAAAUUUAUUGCUAUAUGAUUUUCGAAUAUUUCAAAAUUAUUAGGUCCACUUCUUGGUCACUCUCUUUGUUUUUCUCAAUAAUUAAGUUCAUGCUAUUGAUGAUACUGUUAAAAUAUACUAUAAGCUCCUAAUUAUUCGAAAAUUUAGAAUUUAAUUAAUGUAUUUUUAUUUAUAAGAAUUGAAUCUAUACUUUUCAAAUUUUAAAAUUUAUGUCUAACUAUUAAUAUUUUAUUUUUUAAUUAAAUUUAAAUUCAUUAUAAUGUUAUUUUUUUAAUUUCAUGAUUACCAAGUAAGUAUUUUUUUAAAUGUCAAACUAAUAAAUUUAACAAAAAAUAGUUGUAUUAACAAUUAUACUUGAAAUUUUAAAAUCUGAUAAAUUAAAGGAUUAAAUUUUUAAAAAUAAAAAUAUAAAGACAUAAAUUUUAAAUUUUUAAAAAUUGCAAUAAGAACAUAUUUUAACCUAAUAACAAGCAAGCAAAAUAUGUAGCCCUAAUUUUAAUUAAUUAAAUGAAAAAUAUAAUCACAUUCUCAUUUUAAUAUAACUUGCUCCAAUAAAUAACCGGAAAGGAUAAAUCUUGAUUUUGAUUGUUGCAUCAUUAAUGUCGAAAUUUCAAAUCAAAGUUUUGUUUUUUUAUGUCUUUAUAUUGCACUUUAUCUAAAUGUUAAAUUAAAGGUGUUAAGUAGUAUGAUCCAAAAAGAAAAAGAAAUUAAUUUUAACAUCUUGUUACGCAAUAGGUUGAUUGUUCCUGCAACAAACAAAUAGAUUUUGAUUGUAUCAAUGUUUUUUUUUUUUAUAAUAUCUAAAAUUAUUUAUAGUCUAUAUCUGAUUGAUUUAUAACUGGAAGUAUAAUACGAUUCAAUACACUUAAAUUCACAUUCUUCAAUAUUAACAAUAAUAUCAUAUCAAUCGAAUUAACACUCUAUUAACAUAUAUUAUUGUUGUUCAGUCAAUUUAUAAUGGAUUACGUAGAGUUGCCCUUGAUUAUUUCUCUAAGUGAAAAGAAUCAACGGCCUAGGUUGCAUCGCCAAAACCAAGAAAAGAAAAUCCACGUCAGCUAGAGGUCCAAUUUAUGGAAGACAAGUAGACAAGUAUGAGAAAAGUGUAAAAACAUUUGACUUUUCACAUUGCUAUGUGCUGUGUCAGCAAAGUAAAUGACCGUGAAAACAGGUGAAACGGUAAAAAAGCAUCACCGAAAACCAGUCAUGAGAGACCACGUGGCGACAGGAAUGUACAUGGUUUCGAAGAAGCGAUGAAGUGACCGUACGACGCCGUUUCCGUGAGAAUCUGAAAUUCUCAACUAUAAAUGCGUGGCGUUUGAUGAAAUGUCAAAACACAAGACGUGUUGUCUUCCCGUGUUUACACUCCACUGUCUUCUGCUCCAUCUCCUGCAAAAUUUCGUCUUCUUUUUCAAUUUUCCUCCUCCUUUGUGUUUUGUUUUGUUUACGAUUUUCAAUACCAAUACAUUUACUUUAGUUUGUUAUAGUUGUUCAGGAAAAGGAAGAAAAAAAAGGUGUUGGGGAGUGAUAACUAUUGAAAGAAAAUGUGUGGUAUUUUAGCAGUUUUGGGUUGUUCUGAUGAUUCUCAGGCUAAAAGGGUUCGAGUGCUGGAGCUUUCCCGCAGGCAAAUAUUAUUUUUUUUCUUUCUUACGUUUUCACUUUUAAUUUCGGGGGUCUUUUUAUUUUAGCCUAUUUUGACGUUUGUGUCUCUAAAUACGUUGAUAAACAUUUGCAAAAUAGGUUUAAAUUAUCUCUCUCAUAUUGGCCUUGCAAAAACAAGAGGGAAAAACAAACAAACAUGGUUACUACUUUAAAGAUAGAUCAUCUCCAAACUUGGAGGAGAACUAUACCAAGGGUCCUGAAGCAAUGACGUUACUACUUUUGAAACAAAAGAAAGAGGAAAAUUAAAAUAAAAGAAGGUGGCACAGUGUGUUUUAGGAUGCUAAUAAAAUCAGAUAUGAAUUUUGAGAAUAUUAAGUUCCAUUAAAUAUGUCACUGCUGAUAAAUAUAUGUAUAUCACUACUUAGUCAGUGAUUAUUCACGUGGGGUGUGGGCCGUAAUUUAACGAUCAUCUGGCGAAACAAAUAGUGAUAAAAGAGAAAUAAUAAGCUGAAAUAGCUAUCGUUGGCUGAUGUAUGAACAGGUUGAAGCACCGUGGUCCUGACUGGAGUGGGCUCUAUCAACAUGGAGACAGCUAUUUGGCUCAUCAACGUCUUGCCAUCGUCGAUCCUGCUUCCGGUGACCAGCCUCUCUUUAAUGAAGAUAAGAGUGUUGCUGUCACUGUAAGCCUCUCUAUGCUUCUUUCGUUUUAGUACUUAUCCAGUUUUAGCCCAUAUGAUCACUCAUUUAAAAUUUCAAACAUGUAACGGUUAAUUUAUAUUUUGUAAUCGGUCAAUUAUGUAUCUGGAACUAGGUGAAUGGAGAGAUUUACAACCAUGAAGAAUUGAGGAAGAAGUUGGUAAACCACAAGUUCAGGACUGGCAGUGAUUGUGAUGUUAUUGCCCAUCUGGUAAAGUCCACAUUGCUAAACCUUUUAGUGAUACAGCUCAUUACGGGUCUAAAUUUGUUAGUUUGUUUUGUAAAUUCAAGUGUAAAAGUUGUUGCUUAAACUUGCACUAUAUUACAGUACGAGGAAUAUGGGGAAGACUUCGUGGACAUGUUGGAUGGAAUCUUCUCAUUUGUGCUACUGGAUUCCCGUGACAACAGCUUCAUUGUUGCUCGUGAUGCUAUUGGGGUCACCUCCCUCUAUAUUGGCUGGGGACUUGAUGGUAUUAUAUCUUGCUUUCUGCAAUAUAUCUAAUAUACCUGUGUGAUUUAUAUAAUAAUUAGCUGUUAUUUCGCGGUUUUUUACUUUCUUCACUACUGAUAUUUAUCGAAUUGGCUAUUCAUGAUAGAAAAAAACAAGUCCAGAUUGAGAUUGGUUUGCUAAGUCAGUUGUUUAACUCUUAUAAUAUUCAGGUUCGGUUUGGAUAUCAUCAGAGAUGAAAGGAUUGAGCGAUGACUGCGAACACUUUGAGAGCUUUCCUCCUGGACACUUGUACACUAGCAAAUCAAGAGGAUUCAGGAGGUGGUACAACCCACCCUGGUUUUCCGAGUCCAUUCCUUCAGUUCCAUAUGACCCGCUUGUUCUCAGACACGCAUUUGAAAAUGUAAGCUUGAUGACUUGCAGCCAAACAUUUGACACUUUUUUUUCUCUUUUCAUUUUCUGCCAUUUUACCUUAUGGGUCAUAUGUAAUAUAUUUGUAGGCUGUGAUCAAAAGGCUGAUGACUGAUGUGCCUUUCGGAGUUUUGCUAUCUGGAGGCCUUGAUUCAUCAUUGGUUGCUUCUAUCACGGCUCGGUACCUGGCUGGUACCAAGGCUGCCAAACAAUGGGGAAGUCAGCUCCAUUCUUUCUGUGUCGGACUUGAGGUAAGUCACGUGGUAUAGGAUGAAACCUUGAAGCAUAGUUUUAAAGGAAUUAACUUUUCUUAAAAUUUGUUUAUGGAUUUCUACGCAGGGUUCACCAGAUUUGAAGGCCGCAAAGGAGGUUGCAGACUAUUUGGGCACUGUUCAUCACGAGUUUCACUUUACCGUUCAAGUAACUACCCAAGAUUUAGUAAUUCUUUUAAUUCAAGUCCUGGUGGUCCAACUUUCGCUAAUUUUCGCUCUAAUAUGGCAGGAUGGAAUUGAUGCGAUCGAAGAUGUCAUCUACCACAUUGAAACCUAUGACGUGACUACAAUCAGGGCGAGCACUCCUAUGUUUCUGAUGUCACGAAAGAUCAAGUCACUAGGAGUGAAGAUGGUUAUUUCUGGUGAAGGCUCCGACGAGAUUUUUGGUGGAUAUUUGUACUUCCAUAAGGCUCCAAAUAAGGAAGAACUCCACCGUGAAACAUGCCACAAGGUAAUAGAUCACCACACACGGAAGUAGCCAUCGGAAUUGGACUAUAAGGAUAUAAUGGAACUUGUCUUUUUAAACUUUUACAGAUCAAAGCACUUCAUCAGUAUGAUUGCCUGAGAGCUAACAAAGCAACAUCAGCGUGGGGAUUGGAGGCUCGAGUACCCUUCUUAGACAAAGAAUUUAUCAAAGUUGCCAUGUCUAUAGACCCUGAAUCAAAGAUGGUAUGUAAACAAGUAAUUUCUCCUUAAAACGACAACUAUAUUAUGAUACAGACUGACCAAGAAUACUUUUUCUGUAUUAUGAUACAGAUAAAAAAGGAUCAAGGACGCAUCGAGAAAUGGAUUCUUAGAAAGGCCUUUGACGAUGAAGAGCGUCCUUAUCUGCCAAAGGUGUCAUUGAAUCUUUUGUUGUCUUUAGUAUUUGUUAAUUUUAACGUUAGUACCCAAGUCAACUAACAAGUCCUAUUUGAUGACCUGCAGCACAUCCUCUACCGACAAAAAGAACAAUUUAGCGAUGGCGUUGGUUAUAGUUGGAUCGAUGGUCUUAAGGCGCAUGCCGCCAAACAUGUAAAAACCUUUCUAUUUGUCCUCAUAUUGCUUAUAAUUUAAUAAUUAUCUCCGCUUGGAAUCUCAAGUAACCAGACUGGUGUUAGGAUUAAUCAAUUCCAACCUUAUACUUUCAGGUUACUGAUAAGAUGAUACUUAAUGCUUCUUACAUCUUUCCUCACAACACGCCAACGACAAAAGAAGCAUAUUACUACAGGAUGAUUUUCGAGAGAUUCUUCCCUCAGGUGAUUUCCGAUUUGAAGUUGUUAACUUUGUCAAUAGCAUUUGAUUGCUGAAGUGAUCAUCCUUAUUUGCUGGGUUUAACAGAACUCGGCUAGAUUGACAGUCCCUGGAGGAGCUAGCGUGGCAUGCAGCACUGCUAAAGCUGUUGAGUGGGAUGUUGCCUGGAAGAACAACCUUGAUCCUUCAGGGAGGGCUGCCCUGGGAGUCCACCUCUCGGCUUACGAUGCAGAGGCUCCUCUCAUCAGCAACGUGCCAUCCAAGGUUAUCGAUAGUAUACCACGGAUGGUGGAAGUUCCAGGAGUUGCCAUACACACUUAGUACCUGCCUGCCUACUGGAGAGGGAUCGGAAUCAAUGAAAUCAAUAAGUGAUAGUAGUAUGUUGUGGCAUAUUCAUCAAAAUUCUCAUUUACUAAAAUACUUUAUGAUUGUUUGGAUCUUCCAUUCUUGUUGUUGCUUAUGUUUGAAUGUGUGUAACUGUUAUCAUGGAAGUCAAUCAGAUAUUUGAAUGUUUGUAACCAAAUAUGUUGUCUCCACUGGUUUAAUGGAGCAUUAACAAGUCUAGAUUCUAAACAUCAAUAUCAGACAUGAGCUAAGGAACCAUACAAGUAUCGAGGUGAUCGAGGAAGUUUCUAGUUGAAUUUGAAAGGGAAGAUUUAUGCAAGGAACUGAAAUCAUUAGUGUUGGAUUGGGACCAAGUUGAGCAUGAGCCAGUGUUGGGCUUGGACCUCUAAUCCCUAAGACUGGCCCACCAAUUUUCAUUUUUACUUUUUUGAAUUUUAAUUGAUUAAUUAGAUAAACGCCAACUGGUUAUAACCACCAAAAUUUUCUUUUGAAAAUAUUAAGUUUUAAUUGGAUUUAUUAAGUUGUUUUGAAGAAUUAAUUAUAUUUAUAAUUAUCCAAAUCCCACAAUUAAUAUUAUUAAGUUCCUUUUGAAAAUAUAUGCAAAUAUGCAAACGAGUGAAAUUGUGAUUAUAACUAAUGAAUUAUAGUUUAAAUUCUUCUAUUAGAUCCUAUACUUUGUAAAUAUUCUAGAUUUAGUACAUGUAAUUUAAUUUGAUUAAUUUUAGUCAUUAUACUUUCCGAAUUUUGAAAUUUUAGUCUUGAUCCAAUGGUAAUAAUUAAAUCAUUAGUAUUGUAUUAUGCAUAAUGUUAUAGAUUUAAUUUAGGUUCACCAAUUAGAUCAUUCUUAGUGACUAUAUUUUUUAAAUUUCAAAAUUUAGUCUUAAUGCAAACGAUAGACAUUAAAUCUAUUAACUGAUUUUUUAUGAAUAAUAUGUGAAAAUAACAAAUAUACAUAGCAACACAUGUGGUAAUAUGUUUGAGACAUCAAUUUUUAAAAAUAACAAAACUUAAUGAAUUUAAUGUUAUAAUUUGGUUAGUGUUAAAAUUUUCAAAUUCUAAAAGUAUAAGGACUGAAAAUGUAACACCCUUUGUAAUACCCCCUACCCGUAUUCAUUGCCAGAAUAAGGUACGAGGUAUUACCGGAGUUUACGAUUUUUUUUAUAUAUUCAAUAUAGCCCCUUUAUAAAUAUCUAACAUUGCCUGCAAUAUUAAAUCAAGACCAAAAAUAAUCCACAUCAACCAAUCCAAUUCAACAUAUUUUCAAGAUAGGUUAACGCAUAUAUAUUUACGCAUAUUUAUAAGAUAACAUCAUCGCAUACCAAAACCAAGAUUUGUUAGCCAUACCAUUGGUUGACCUUACAUUCAUUUCACAGAAUCAUUUACUUUAUCAGCUUAUACAUGCCAUUGAUUUCCAAAAUAAAGUUUUUUUUAUAUACCGAAAUCCUGAGGUUGAUAGUGUGAUGUGUCUCCGACCAAAUCCGACCUCCGAGCUCUUAACACUACAAAACAGGGGAAAAGGAAACAGGGUAAGCACUUUGUGCUUAGUAAGCUCAUGUAACAAGAAUUAUACUUACCUAAUAUUUUCAAUACAAUACAAUAAACAUUCAUAUAUCCAUUCAAUGCAUUAUUACCCUAACAUGCACAAACUCAACAUUCAAGUUAGUACAAUAAUUUCCAUAUACCAAUAAUAUAUACUAUGAUUGAUGAGCUCAUCAAUACCAUGAUUUCCAUUUCCUUGUUAUUUUUCCAUAUUUAUCCUGUUGAAUUUAUCGGAAUUUCGAUGGAUUUUCAGAGGUACACUUUUAGUUUACAAUUCUGGGUCCGUCAAUUCAUAUUCAUGUGCGCACAUUUCCAUUUCAGAGAGUACACUCCCGCGAACCUCAACCUUGCAGCGGGAUUACCAGUCCAGGCUAAAUCCCCUGUAAUAUAAUCUCAUAGAGUAUUGUCGGGAUUACUAGUCCAGACUAAAUCCCCUGCAACGACAAUUACUUUAAUGAGCUUGGAUCUGAAUUACCAGUCCAGGCUAAAUUCAGACCCUAAUUCGGAUUACCCGUCCGGGCUAAAUCCAUUUUACACAUAUUCUUCGGGAGGGCUAUAUCAGGAUAGGAUCACCCGUCCGGGCUAGAUCCUUUUUACUAUCAAUCCUUUUCAGAGAUCCAUCGAAUUUUCCUUUCAUUCAACCGGGAUUUCUUCCCAUUUUAUCAAAUAUAUCAAUGUUUCAUUAAUUUUCAUACAAUGAACUUUAAAAUCAUAUUCACAUCAAUAACAUACAAUCUCAAGCAUUUAAGAAUAUAAUUCAAGUUACACGAACUUACCUUGAUACUUGUUCGUGUAUAAAAAUCUACUAAUCCUGAACUUUUUCCUUUCCUUGAUCUAGCUUCGUAUUUGAAUCUUCUGGAUCUAAAUAAAUAAAUUUAAUUAUCAAUUUAAUACAUUUCAUGUUCAUAUGCAACAAUUUCUAUAAUUUUAUUAUUAUUAUUUAUAGUUUAUUUAAAGCUGUCUAUUUGAGUCAUAGUCACUAAAUUAUUUAUAACUCGAGCUACAUAACUCCAAAUUAAGAUCCGUUAAGUUUCCCUGAAACUAGACUCAUAUAUCUUCUUACCAUAAAGUUUUCAGAAUUUUUGGUGUAGCCAAUAAGUACAGUUUAUUCUUUAAAUUCACCCCUAUUGUAACGCCCCGUACCCGAGACCAUCACCGGAGUCGAACACGAGGUGUUAACAGACUUAAUUCAUUACUUAAACAGCUAAAAUAAUUUAUUUUUAAAAUUUCCAGUUCAACUAGCAAUCUGCAUCAUAGUCGCUUAAAAAUUCAUAUCUCGAGUUACAAAACUCGAAAUCCAAUUCCGUCAAUUUUCCCUUAAAAUAGACUCAUUUAUCUAUUUACUAUUUUUUUAUAGAAUUUUUGGUCGAGCCAAUUAGUACAAUUUAUUAGUUAAAAGUCUCCCCUGUUUCAGGAUUCGACUGCUCUGACCUCUGUGUAUUACGAAUCAGAUAUCUAUCCGUACAGAAUUUCAAUGACUAUGAAGUUUGUUUCUCUUAAAACUAGACUCAAUAAGGAAUCUGUACAUAUAAAGAAUUACUUCUAAUUAUAUUUGUACAAUUUAUGAUAAAUUUUUAAAGUCAGAACAGGGGAUCCAGAAAUCACUCUGGCCCUGUUUCACAAAAAUUCAAAUAUCUCAUAAAAUAUAAUUCAUAUACCUGUUUUGUUCAAUCCAUAUGAAAAUAGACUCAUUAAGAUUCAAUUUCAUAACAUACUCAUCAUUUAAUUCCAUUUCUACUAUUUUUAGUGAUUUUUCAAAUUUACAUCACUGCUGCUGUUAGAAUCUAUUUUAUGGUAAAUUUUACCUAUUUCAUGGUUUCCAUGGAUUAGCUAGCAAUUUGACAUACAUAACACCAAAUAUGAUCAUGAUUAGCCAUUCCAAUGGCUAAUCAUUACUAAGCAUUUCCAUACCACUCAAUAACCAUAUCAUAAGACCAUAUAUACAAAAUGAUUAUAAUGCUAUACAUGCCAUACUCAAAAUAUACAAGCCAUUAUGCCAAGAUGGUAUACAGAUAGUGUGAGCGAACCUCCGACCGUUCCCGAUUUCCGAGCUGGCUUGUCAAAACUAUAAGGAAUGAAAAGGAUGGAGUAAGCAUAAAUGCUUAGUAAGUUCACAUGCAAAUAGCAAGUAACAUAACCAUAUAAGCAAACAUAAAACAUCAUUUGCAUAAUCAUCACCAAGUUACCGAGACUCCAAAAAUGUAAAAAUCAUUAAAAACGAGGCUAGAACGGACUUACAAUCGAGCUUGGAAGCUUGAAAAACCCUAGCCAUGGUUUCUCCUUGCUAUAUUCGACCAUGGGGUUGAAGAUGAGCAAAAUUGGCUUUUAAUUUUGUAUUUUAAUUCAUUUUACCCCUAAAUGACGAAAAUGCCCUUACUACUAAACUUUUCAAAAAUUCCAUCCAUGUCCAAUUUUUGUCCAUAGACUUAUAAAUUGGUAAAAUUGCUAUUUAAUACCUCCUAAUUAAUAUUUCAAAACAAUUUCAUACUAGAAACUUCUAGAAUGCAAGUUUUGCAAAUUAUUCGAUUUAGUCCCUAAUUUCAAUUUAAGCAUUUUAUGCAUAAAAUUUCUUCACGAAAUUUUCACACAAUCAUGCAAUCAUAUCAUAGACCUCAAAAUAAUCAUAAAAUAAUUAUUUCUAUCUCGGAUUUUGUGGUCACGAAACCACUAUUCCGACUAGGCCCAAAAUCAGGAUAUUACAACUCUCCCCCCUUUAGGGAUUUUCGUCCCCGAAAAUCUUACCAGAAAAGUGGUCUUCACUUUUAAUCUCAUAUUCGGUGCCAAAGAACUUUCACUUAGACUGUACCUCCAAUACAUCUCUUUAAUUUCUGAUAUGAUCUGAAAGCUUACAGUCUCAACUCUCAACUGUUCUUAAAUUUUCAACCCUUAUCAGUUUCCCAUGAUAUCAUGACAUAAAACUCGGAUCAUAACUUGAUUAAUGGAGACCGAAAUUCUAAGAAAUCCAACAAUCAAAGAGACCUAAAAUUCCAUGAAUCUGAUGAGUAGGAAUUCAUUCAAUACAGAUAUGAUUUAUAGAUCUCGCUAAACAUUUAACAAUAGGAUACAUCACAUUUUCCUCUUUCCGCCAUGGAAAUAAUUCUGAUAUGGCCUCAAGAAUAAUCCUUUUCAUUUUCAUCCUAAUAUCAACACUGGCUAGGAUAAUUUUGAUAGAUCCCAAUGCUCGGCUUUAACCUCUUUACAACUUAGAUUUUAUGUAACAUCGAAUGCUCUAAACUAUCACAUUACCUCACUGUCUUGAAACACAUCACAAUUCAUACAACAGUACAUUACUGAAAGCCAAGAAGUCUUUGCUCAAUGUAGACUAGUCUAGUUCAGACGCUUCGGUUACCGAUAUUCUCAUCUAUCCGAACUCUGUCAACAUGUAAUAAACUUUUCAGCUUUCACAAGACGAAAACCUUAUCAUUCGUAGUGACUUUAACUAAUAUCCAACUCUUUCUAAUAAAUAUACACUUCUCGUUCAGACUAUUUACUCUUUUAUCUGUACAAAAUGAAAUUCUAUUAUCAGACUUGAGAAAAAUAAUCUUGACAUAAUUGUCACAUGAAAUCUUUCAAAUAAAUAAUUCACCAUACCGACUGAAACUCGCGCUUUUAUCACUUAUGCCUUUACUGAUGUCAAAUCCUUACACAGAAAUUAGAAAAAUCCUAAUACUAAAAUCACCACAUUACCAAGAUCAAAUCAAAAGUAUAGUCAUAUUUGACAUGAUUAUCACGAGCUGAAGAACGCACUUCGAACACGAGUCAUAAUUGACAAAUUAUGGAACAAAGAUAACAAGGAAACCGAAUAAAGAAAUCCAAGAUAGAGAAAUCCAGAAUAAAGAAACCCAAGAUAUGAUACUAUGCUGGAGAAUCGAAAACCAAACUCAUAGAGAAAAUACAGAAUACCUCAAUAAUUCUUCAAAGAAAAAAAGUCCAAAAGAAAACAUCAUUUAAUCCCACUGGAAUCAAAUAUAACAAGAACAAUAUAUCUUCCCAUACAUAUAUAUCAGAUGAAGCAUCAAGUAGAAGAAACAGAAACAUAAUAUCUUACGUAUUCUCUCAUCAAUUCUUAUCAGACGAAAUGAAAUAGAAUACCCGAUGAAAUAGAGCAAUAUAAAUUAUAAACCAGUCAGACUACCAAUGCUUUCAUCCAACACCAGAAUUAGAAGACAUUCCCAUAUAACAAGAAUUUCUUCAGAAGAUCAAUAGCCAUAGAAAUAUUUCUGAGAACGGGUAAACACAUAGAACAUCUCAAAAGAGACUGCUAAAUCUGUCCAGUCAUAACUAUCACACUCAGAUAGUUCACAUUUCAAAUAUCAUUUCCCCAACUAGUUCUGCCAUCACAAAUUUCAUAUUAAACCAUUCACUAAAGAAGGCCAGUUCUGAAUAAAUUUCGAUUUACACUUUUCUUGACCUUGCACCUGAGCAAUUCGAUUUACCAAAGAGAAUUCCUUCUCUAACUGGGACAAUGCAUAAUUCUAAUAAUCUUUAUAUCAAUCCGAUACUUUACUAGCUCUGACUUUACUUAUCAGCUCAUUUUCAAUCUCUGAUCAUACUUAUAAUUAUUCUAUCACUGAACUCUUUGGGUUCUCAACCGGAAACUUAUUCAAUACAAAUCUCAUGAAAUUCCAUUAUAAGUACCACUUCGGUAAGGGGGAGGGGUUGUAGGACCUCUGACUCGACUUUCUUAUACAUACACAUAUGACACAACUUCCAUCAUCAUAGCAAGAUCAUCAAAAUCAUGUCAUUCAUUCAGGUAAUGCAACAUUCAUGUUGGCUUACACCAAUUUUCCUAUUGUCCCAUUUAGACAAUAUACUUAUGCAUACAUUCUAUGUUUUCUAGAUAGCUUUACUUAUCCAUUCAUUUAAUUAAUUUAAUUCAUGCUCAUGACAUCAUAUAAGGCCAAACAAACAUAGAUAUUUGUAUCACAAUCACAACUUUCAUUUCGUGCAUCAUCAUGUACAUAUCAUUAUAAUCAUAUAAUUCAGUCCAACAAUUUAACAUAGAUAAGUUCAUUUCAUUAUAAUCCUUUAUCUCAUAAAAAUUGUAUAUCAUUAACAUUCAUCAACAUUCAACGUCCAAUCAAGACAAGGACAUUUUCAUUCGUAUCAUGAUAUUAUGACCUUUAUUCAUACCUCUACUACUUUCUAUUUAUUCCGUUCAUCUUAUCAAGUAAGCCACAUACACUACAUCGUAUGAGCAUUAAGCAAAUAUGGAUAUUUAUCACAACAUGAACUUUCAUCUCACAUAUUAUCACAUAUGUAUCAUAAACUUUUAUUCAUACUUUUCUGAACCGAGACUUAUCAUAAUCAUAACUUUACUCAAAUACCUUCGCAUAAUAUUGAACAUGGUCAGCGCAGCUCGGUUGGAGAGUACCCUGUCUAAAUAAGACGGUACUUAUACGCGUCGAAAGACAUCACGCUAUCACAGAUCAGUGGCAUGUAUAGCUAAACUUUUACACAUGCUAAGUUAGUCCGAGAACCGACUAAACCUGCUCUGAUACCACCAAAUGUAACGUCCCGUACCCGAGACCGUCGCCGGAGUCGAACACGAGGUGUUAACAGACUUAAUUCAUUACUUAAACAGCUCAAACAAUUUAUUUUUAAAAUUUUCAGUUAAACUAGCAAUCUGCAUCACAGUCGCUUAAAAAUUCAUAUCUCAAGUUACGAAACUCGAAAUCCAAUUCCGUCAAUUUUCCCUGAAAAUUGACUCAUUUAUAUAUUUAUUAAUUUUUUAUAGAAUUUUUGGUCAAGCCAAUUAGUACAGUUUAUUAAUUAAAGUCUCCCCUAUUUUAGGGUUUGACUGCUCUGACCUCUGUAUAUUACGAAUCAGAUAUCUCUCUGUACAGAACUUCAAUGACUAUGAAGUUUGUUUCUAUUAAAACUAGACUCAAUAAGGAAUCUGUACAUAUAAAGAAUGACUUCUAAUUAUAUUUGUACAAUUUAUGAUAAAUUUUUAAAGUCAGAACAGGGGAUCCAGAAAUCACUCUGGCCCUGUUUCACAAAAAUUCAAAUAUCUCAUAAAAUAUAAUUCAUAUACCUGUUUUGUUUAAUCCAUAUGAAAAUGGACUCAUUAAGAUUCAAUUUCAUAACAUACUCAUCAUUUAAUUCCAUUUCUACUAUUUUUAGUGAUUUUUCAAAUUUACAUCACUGCUGCUGUUAGAAUCUAUUUUAUGGUAAAUUUUACCUAUUUCAUGGUUUCCAUGGAUUAGCUAGCAAUUUGACAUACAUAACACCAAAUAUGAUCAUGAUUAGCCAUUCCAAUGGCUAAUCAUUACCAAGCAUUUCCAUACCACUCAAUAACCAUAUCAUAAGACCAUAUAUACAAAAUGAUUAUAAUGCUAUACAUGCCAUACUCAAAAUAUACAAGCCAUUAUGCCAAGAUGGUAUACAGAUAGUGUGAGCGAACCUUCGACCGUUCCCGAUUUCCGAGCUGGCUUGUCAAAACUACAAGGAAUGAAAAGGAUGGAGUAAGCAUAAAUGCUUAGUAAGUUCACAUGCAAAUAGCAAGUAACAUAACCAUAUAAGCAAACAUAAAACAUCAUUUGCAUAAUCAUCACCAAUACAUUCAUAUCAUAUUUUCAUUUAUCAUCUUACCAUAUUAUUGUUAUAUCGAUUUUUCAACCCGAGGGUUAAAUACAUACCUGUUCAAAGUAUCCAUUUCACAACACUCACCAAUACGUCCCUUUCAUCUCUAGUAUUCCUCCAUUUGAGUAGAACUUUACCCGUUGAACACAUCGGAAUAUAAUUCGGAUACAUGGAAAGUUUGCACAUAAGUGCCACAUAUGUAGCCAAGCUACCAUGUAACCCGCCCAUAAGUGAACUCAGACUCAACUCAACGAGCUCGGGCGUUCGCAUCCACAAGUGAACUCGGACUCAACUCAACGAGCUCGGAUGCCUAGUUACAUCUCUCGAACUCGGACUCAACUCAACGAGUUCGGACAUUCGCAUCUAUAAGUGAACUUGGACUCAACUCAACGAGUUCGGAUGCUCAACCAUCCUAGUGACAUGUCACUUGUAUCCUAAUCCAUUCCUAAGGUUCAACGGGAAUUUUUUCCCAAUCAUGUGUCUCAACCAUCUUCUACGGAAUGCCGAUACCGAUACUCGGUAGUAUUUCACAUUUUCCAAGUAUAUCACACAAUUUGACAUAUUAUCAAACAAUUAUCACGAGUAUAGUAUUUCAUAAUAAUUAUCAUAUCAUUUAAAUAACAUAAAAACAUUUAAAAUAAUAACUAUGUUACCAACAUUUACAUAUGAACUUACCUCGUAUGCAAAAAUGGCUACUUUUACCAUUUCGUCCACAACUUGGUAUUUUCCCCAUUUUAGCCCGAAUUUUAGUUUUCCUUGCUCUAUCAUUUAAAAUAUAGUCUAAUUAGGACUCACAUUAUUCAAAUUGACCCAAAAUCAUAUUUUGGAAAAAUUACAAUUUUACCCCUAAACUUUUGCAUAUUUACACUUUUGCCCCAAAGCUCGUAAAUUAAACUUCAGCAUAUUUUCUUAUGUUUUAUGACAUGCUGAUCAUUUUUCCCUUCUAUGGAAACAUCAAAUUCUCACUCUAACAUGUACUUAUGACUAUUAGGUAUUUUUACCGAUUAAGCUCUUUUGCUCGUUUUCACUUAAAACCGAGUAGCACAAGUUGUCUAACAUAAUUUAAAACCUCAUAUUCUAUCAUAAAAUACCAAAAUACACAAAUUUCACCUAUGGUUAUUUUUCCAAAUAUAAAACCUAGGUUAAAUUAUUGCUAGAAUAAGCUAAAUCAAGUUACCGGGACUCCAAAAAUGUAAAAAUCAUUAAAAACGAGGCUAGAACGGACUUACAAUCGAGCUUGGAAGCUUGAAAAACCCUAGCCAUGGUUUCUCCUUGCUAUAUUCGGCCAUGGGGUUGAAGAUGAGCAAAAUUGGCUUUUAAUUUUGUAUUUUAAUUUAUUUUACCCCUAAAUGACGAAAAUGCCCUUACUAUUAAACUUUUCAAAAAUUCCAUCCAUGUCCAAUUUUUGUCCAUAGACUUAUAAAUAGGUAAAAUUGCUAUUUAAUACCUUCUAAUUAAUAUUUCAAAACAAUUUCAUACUAGAAACUUCUAGAAUGCAAGUUUUGCAAAUUAUUCGAUUUAGUCCCUAAUUUCAAUUUAAGCACUUUAUGCAUAAAAUUUCUUCACGAAAUUUUCACACAAUCAUGCAAUCAUAUCAUAGACCUCAAAAUAAUCAUAAAAUAAUUAUUUCUAUCUCGGAUUUUAUGGUCACGAAACUACUAUUCCGACUAGGCCCAAAAUCAGGAUAUUACACAUAUUCUACUGUUUGACAAUUUCGACCCUUCUUCACUAAAAAUUAAUUAUCUCACAGUACAGAACUCGGAUAAUAUUCCCGUUGAUUUAUCCUGAAAAUAGACUCAUUAAGGAUUCUAAAAAUAUAAAUUUAAGCCUCUAAUUAUUUUUCUCCAAUUUUUGGUGAUUUUGCAAAGUCAGAACAGGGGAACCCGAAUUCAUUCUGACAUUGUCUCACAAAAUUCAUUAUAUAUCAUAAUUUACAAUUCAAUUGCUUACACCGUUUCUUCUAUAAGAAACUAGACUCAAUAAGCUUUAAUUUCAUUUUUUUUCAUCUUCUAAUUUUAUUUCUACAAUUUAUAGUGAUUUUUCAAAGUUAGUCUACUGCUGCUGUCCAAUAUUGUUUUAGUGCAAGCUGUUUGUUACCAUUUUUCCCUUAAGCUUUUAAUAAAUAACAAUUUCAUCCCUACUCAAUUAGCCUCUCAAUUGAGCUGAUUUUUCUCAAUUAAUACUUUAUUCUAUCACCUUAAACUAGUUUACAACCUUUAAGAAUAAAAAAUUCAGAAAUAAACUUUAAUUCCAAACAUUUUUACAAUUAGGUCCUAAAAAUCAAUUUCUAUUGAACUUACCUAAUAAAAUCAUCUCAUAAACAAAUUAAAGCUUUAAUUUCAUUCUAUUUCAUCAUAAAUUUACAGCACUCAACCAUGGUUACUUUCAAUUUCAUCCAUGAAAUCAAAAACUAAUGAAUUUAAUAGUAGGACCUAGUUGUAAAAGUCUUGGAAACACAAAAAUUACAAGAAAAAGGCAAGUAUUAACUCACUCGGUGCAAAAAUUAUGGAAUACCAGCUUAGAUAACCCUCCUAUGGCGUUUUUAGCUGCUGGGAUUGAAGAGAAAUGAAGAGAAAUCUAGAUAUUUCCUAUUUAGUCCUAGUUUUAUUUAGUUAAUUUUGCAAUAUUCCAAUUUUUCCCUUAAUUUAUCAAUUUUCUUGCUGAUUUCAUGCCCUUGUCGUCCAGCCCAAAUAAAUUUUGGGUCCAAUUCCUUUUAAACCCUCUCUCAUUAGACACUUAAGCUAUUUAAUCAUCCCAUCCAUUUUUACACCUUUUACAAUUUAGUCCUUUUCAUUUAAUUAACUAUCAAAACAUUAAAAUUUCCUAACAAAAUUUUAAUACCACAUUACUAACAUUUCAUAAAUAUUUAUAAAAUUAUUUUCGACUCGAUUUUAUGAGAUAUUGGUCCCGAUACCUUAUUUUACCCAAUUUCUUCAAUAAUUUCUUUUUCUAACUAACCACUAAAUCGGUAAAAUUUUUCUAUCAAUAUUUUCAUACGAUUUUCCUAUCAUAUCAAUUUUCAUGCAAAAAUAUUGAAAUAAAUUUAUCUUUAAAUCAGAUUUGUGGUUACGAAACCACUAUUCCGAUAAUCUUGAAUUUAGGCCAUUACAACUCUCCCCUCUUUAGGAUUUUCGUCCUCGAAAAUCUUACCAGUAAAGAGGUUUGGGUAUUGUUUCGUCAUUGCCUCCUCCGGUUCCCAUGUCGCUUCCUCAAUACCAUGUUUUUUCCACAAUACUUUCACUAAAUUUAUCUUUUUAUUUCUAAACUCUUUUGUCUCCCGUGCCAAUAUCUUGACCGGUUCUUCACUGUAAGUCAUAUUCGGUUGAAUCUCUACUUCUGUCGGAGAAAUAACAUGUGAAGGAUCUGAUUGAUAUCGUCGUAACAUAGAUAUAUGAAAAACAUUAUGGAUUCUAUCAAGUUCUGGUGGUAAUGCCAAUCGAUAAGCGACCGGUCCAAUUCUUUCUAUGAUUUCAUAUGGCCCAAUAAAUCUUGGACUCAAUUUACCCUUUCGACCGAAUCGAAGAACUUUCUUUCAAUGAGACACUUUCAAGAAUACCUUGUCACCGACUUGAAAUUCAAUCUCUUUUCGUUUAAGGUCGGCAUAUGAUUUUUGACAAUCGGAAGCUGUUUUUAGACUAUCCCAAAUAACCUUUACUUUUUAUUUUGCUUCCCGGAUCAAAUUAACCCCAUGUAUCUUCCUUUCACUGAGUUUUGUCCAAUAUAGCGGUGUUCUACAUUUUCUACCAUACAAAGCUUCAUAUGGAGUCAUUUUAAUACUGGACUAAUAACUAUUAUUGUAAGCAAAUUCAAUGAAAGGUAGAUACCUCUUCCAAUUACCUUCAAACUCUAGUAUACAACAUCGAAGCAUAUCUUCCAAUACUUGAAUUACACGCUCAGGUUGACCAUCUGUUUAAGGAUGAAAUGCAGUGCUGAAAUACAACUGAGUACCUAAGGCUUCAUGCAAUUUGUCCCAGAAAUUAGACGUAAAUCGGGGAUCUCUAUUUGAUAUAAUAGAGACAGGCACUCCAUGUAGCCUGACAAUCUCAGAUAUGUAUAGUUCAGCUAAUUUAUCUAAAGAAUAAUCCAUACGUACCGGAGUAAAGUGCGCCGACUUUGUCAAUCGGUCAACAAUCACCCAAAUAGCAUCUUUUUUCCUCGGAGACAAAGGUAACCCCGAUACAAAAUCCAUAGUAAUUCUUUCCCAUUUCCAUUCCAGUAUAGUAAUUGGUGAAGUAACCCCGAAGGUACCUGAUGUUCAGCAUAUAACUGCUUCUCUCGCAGAAUUUGCAACACAAUUCUCAAAUGUUUUGCAUGUUCUUCUUCAUCCCGAGAAUAAACCAAAAUAUCAUCAAUGAAUACUACUACAAAUCUGUCUAAGUACGGUCUGAAUAUCCGGUUCAUCAAAUCCAUGAAUACUGCAGGUGAAUUAGUUAGCCCAAAUGGUAUAACCAGAAACUCAUAAUGUCUGUACCUGGUUUUAAAGGCUGUUUUUGGCACAUCUGACUCCUUUACCCAUAACUGAUAAUAACCUGAUCGAAUAUCAAUCUUUGAAAACACAGUAGCACCUUUCAGCUGAUCAAAUAAAUCAUCAAUCCGGGGUAACGGGUACUUAUUCUUUAUGGUUACUUUAUUAAGCUGCCGGUAGUAGAUACAAAGUCUUAAAGACCCGUCCUUCUUUUUCACAAACAGAACCCGAGCACCCCAAGGUGAAUGACUUGGUCGGACAAAACCCCUGUCAACAAGCUCUUGCAACUGUGUCUUUAACUCCUUUAAUUCAGUAGAAGCCAUCCGGUACGGAGCUAUGGAAAUCGAAAUAGUUCCCGGAAUCAAAUCUAUGGAAAAUUUCACUUCUAUUUUUGGUGGCAACCCUGGUAAUUCAUCUGAAAACACAUCGAAAAAUUCACAUACUAUUAGCACUGCCUGUAUCCUUGACUCAGAUACCUUGGUGUCGAGUACAUAAGCCAAGUAAGCAUCAUACCCUUUUUUGACAUACCUCUGUGCUGCCAUUACUGAAAUCACAUCAGAUAACCCCUCUGUCUGAUCAGAUUUAACCCGGAGCAACUUACCAUUUUGACAUUUUAGCACAAUAUAUUUUUGUCUACAAUUUACUACUGCAUCAUGCUGGGUUAACCAAUCCAUGCCCAAUAUCACGUCAAAUUCAUCAAAUGGUAGUAACAUCAAAUCAGCCGGGAAACAAUAACCUCUUACCAUCAGUGGACAAUUUUUACAAAUUUUAUCUACAAAAACGGAUUGACCCAAGGGGUUCAAGACUUUAACCACAAAUUUAGUAGGUUCAACAGAUAAAUUUUUAACGAUUGCAAGUUUAACACAUAUAUAUGAAUGCGUAGAACCAGGAUCAAUUAAUGCAGUAAUAUUAGUUCCAAGUAAAGAAAAUGUACCAGUAAUAACAUCGGGUGCUGAGGCAUCUUAUCUGGCACGAAUGGCGUAUGUCCUAGCAGGUGCUCAUGCCUCAGACCUGCCUGCAAUAUCUUUCGUAGCUCCUCGGCUACCACUGACAUUACCAGUUGGUCGAGGUGGUCUGCCCCUCGAAACUAGAUUACUUAGCUUCGAUAACUACUCAGCUUCUUUUUCACCUCUUUCUGGACAAUUUUUGAGGAAAUGGUCAAAAGAACCACAUUGGUAACAAGCCCCGCUCUUUAAUCGACAUUCACCAAAAUGAGCUUUAUUACAGUACUGACAUCUCGGCUUAGGAGUGCCAACACUGCAAAUACUGGCCACUGAUAGAGUGGAAGGUCUUGGAUUAGUGCGUUGAGAACCUCGCUCUCUACCCGAAUACCCAGUGGCUGAGGUAGAACGAUCCUGGUACUUCUUCAAUUUCUUUGGAGCAGAAAAAUGGGAUUUUCCCAUCGGUCUUUUACUAAAAAUUCGAGCUUCUCUCUCAGCCUGUUUCUUUUCUUUGCUCAAUUCUUCUGCUUUAUAAGCUCUCUCUGCUAAUGUAGCAAACUCUCGAAUUUCAAGAAUUCCGAUCAGUAGGUUAAUGUCUUCAUUCAACCCUUAUUCGAAUCGUUUGCACAUUUCAGCUUCUGACUGUACCCAUUCUCGAGCAUAUUUACUCAAUCGAACAAAUUCUCUUUCAUACUCAGAUACUGAUCUGUUACCCUGUUUCAGCUCAAGAAAUUCUUUUCUCUUCUGAUCGAGAAACCUCUGGCUGAUAUAUUUCUUUCUGAACUCGGUCUGAAAGAAUUCCCAUGUAAUUUCUUCUUUCAGAACAACUGAAGCUUUAGUAUUCCACCAAUAGUAAGCUGUGUCCUUUGGCAGUAAGACGACACAUUUCAGACAUUCUUCUGGUGUACAAGAUAAUUCCACCAAAACCCGAGUAGUGUUUUUUAACCAGAAUUCAGCCCGUUCAGAAUCAUUGUCAACUGCUGCUUGAAAUUCUUCGGCCCCAUAUUUUCAAAUUUUAUCUACUAGAGCUUUCCCUUUUUUGACAGAUUCAGUACCUGUACCCUGUGGGAUCUUGGGAACCGGUGGAGGAGUAGGAGGGGGAGCUUGAACUUGCUGCACUACAGGGUUAGUUUUUAAGUAUUGACUAAACCAUUCAUUCAUCAUUUGAAAGAAUGCUGUUUUUGCCUCCUCCCCUCGACCCUCUGUCUCGGGCCUUCUACUGCUAGUUUCUUCUCUUUGUACUGAAGCCGGAGCAUGACUCCCAGCUUCCUCAGAUUGAGCUCGAUCGGUAGACAUUUACUAUAAGAAAAACACAUUUAAAUGGUCAGGAGAUAUCACACUAUCAAUAAUAAUUUAAAUGGCAUGUAUAGCUAAUCCCGUAUUUACUAUGUCAGUCCGAGAACUGGCUAAACCGUAGCUCUGAUACCAACAAAUAUAAUAACCCCUACCCGUAUUCAUGUCAGAAUAAGGUACGAGGUAUUACCGGAGUUUACGAUUUUUUUAUAUAUUCAAUAUAGCCCCUUUAUAAAUAUCUAACCUUGCCUACAAUAUUAAAUCGAGACCAAAAAUAAUCCACAUCAACCAAUCCAAUUCAACAUAUUUUCAAGAUAGGUUAACGCAUAUAUAUUCACGCAUAUUUAUAAGAUAACAUCAUCGCAUACCAAAACCAAGAUUUGUUAGCCAUACCAUUGGUUCACCUUACAUUCAUUUCACAGAAUCAUUUACUUUAUUAGCUUAUACAUGCCAUUGAUUUCCAAAAUAAAGUUUUUUUAUAUACCAAAAUCCUGAGGUUGAUAAUGUGAUGUGUCUCCGACCAAAUCCGACCUCCGAGCUCUUAACACUACAAAACAAGGGAAAAGGAAACAGGGUAAGCACUUUGUGCUUAGUAAGCUCAUGUAACAAGAAUUAUAUUUACCUAAUAUUUUCAGUACAAUACAAUAAACAUUCAUAUAUCCAUUCAAUGCAUUAUUACCCUAACAUGCACAAACUCAACAUUCAAGUUAGUACAAUAAUUUCCAUGUACCAAUAAUAUUUACUAUGAUUGAUGAGCUCAUCAAUACCAUGAUUUCCAUUUCCUUGUUAUUUUUCCAUAUUUAUCCCGUUGAAUUUAUCAGAAUUUUGAUGGAUUUUCAGAGGUACACUUUUAGUGUACAAUUUCGAGUCCGUCAAUUCAUAUUCAUGUGCGCACAUUUCCAUUUCAGAGAUCACACUCCCGCGAACCUCAACUUUGCAGCGGGAUUACUAGUCCAGGCUAAAUCCCCUGCAACGACAAUUACUCUAAUGAGCUUGGAUCUGAGUUACCAGUCCAGGCUAAAUUUAGACCCUAAUUUGGAUUACCCAUCCGGGCUAAAUCCAUUUUACACAUAUUCUUCGGGAGGGCUAUAUCAGGAUAGGAUCACCCGUCCGGGCUAGAUCCUUUUUACCGUCAAUUCCUUUUCAGAGAUUCAUCGAAUUUUCCUUUCAUUCAACCGGGAUUUCUUCCCAUUUUAUCAAAUAUAUCAAUGUUUUAUUAAUUUUCAUACAAUGAACAUUCAAUUCAUAUUCACAUCAAUAACAUACAAUCUCAAGCAUUUAAGAAUAUAAUUCAAGUUACACGAACUUACCUUAAUACUUGUUCGUGUCCAAAAAUCUACUAAUCCUAAACUUUUUUCUUUCCUCGAUCUAGCUUCGUAUUUGAAUCUUCUGGAUCUAAAUAAAUAAAUUUAAUUAUCAAUUGAAUACAUUUCAUGUUCAUAUGCAACAAUUUCUAUAAUUUUAUUAUUAUUAUUUAUAGUUUAUUCAAAGCUGUCUAUUUGAGUCAUAGUCACUAAAUUAUUUAUAACUCAAGCUACGUAACUCCAAAUUAAGAUCCGUUAAUUUUUCCUGAAACUAGCUAGACUUAUAUAUCUUCUUACCAUAAAAUUUUCAGAAUUUUUGGUGUAGCCAAUAAGUACAGUUUAUUCUUUAAAAUCACCCCUAUUCUACUGUUUGACGGUUUCGACCCUUCUUCACUAAAAAUUAAUUAUCUCACAGUACAGAACUCAGAUAAUAUUCCUGUUGAUUUAUCCUGAAAAUAGACUCAUUAGGGAUUCUAAACAUAUAAAUUUAAGCCUCUAAUUAUUUUUCUCUAAUUUUUGGUGAUUUUGCAAAGUCAGAACAGGGGAACCCGAAUUCAUUCUGACAUUGUCUAACAAAAUUCAUUAUAUCUCAUAAUUUACAAUUUAAUUACUUACACUGUUUCUUCUAUAAGAAACUCGACUCAAUAAGCUUUAAUUUCAUAUUUUUUUCAUCUUCUAAUUUUAUUUCUACAAUUUAUGGUGAUUUUUAAAAGUUAGUCUACUCCUGCUGUCCAAUAUUGUUUUAGUGCAAACUGUUUAUUACCAUUUUUUCCUUAAGCUUUUAAUAAAUAACAAUUUCAUCCCUACUCAAUUAGCCUCUCAAUUGAGCUGAUUUUUCUCAAUUAAUACUUUAUUCUAUCACCUUAAACUAGUUUACAACCUUUAAGAAUAAAAAAUUCAGCAAUAGACUCUAAUUCCAAAAAUUUUCACAAUUACGUCCUAAAAAUCAAUUUCUAUUGAACUUGCCUAAUAAAAUCAUCUCAUAAACAAAUUAAAGCUUUAAUUUCAUUCUAUUUCAUUAUAAACUUACAGCACUCAACCAUGGUGACUUUCAAUUUCAUCCAUGAAAUCAAAAAUUAAUGAAUUUAAUAGUAGGACCUAGUUGUAAAAGUCUUAGAAACACAAAAAUUACAAGAAAAAGGCAAGGAUUAACUCACUUGGUGCAAAAAUUAUGGAAUACCAGCUUAGAUAACCCUCCUAUGGCAUUUUUAGUUGCUGGAAUUGAAGAGAAAUGAAGAGAAAUCUAGAUAUUUCCUAUUUAGUCCUAGUUUUAUUUAGUUAAUUUUGCAAUAUUCCAAUUUUGCCCUUAAUUUAUCAAUUUUCCUGCUGAUUUCAUGCCCUUGCCGUCCAGCCCAAAUAAAUUUUGGGUCUAAUUCCUUUUCAAAUCCUCUCUCAUUAGACACUUAAGCUAUUUAAUCAUCCCAUCCACUUUUACAUCUUUUACAAUUUAGUCCUUUUCAUUUAAUUAACUAUCCAAACAUUAAAAUUUCCUAACGAAAUUUUAAUACCACAUUACUAACAUUUCAUAAAUAUUUAUAAAAUUAUUUUCGACUCGGUUUUACCAGAUAUAGGUCCCGAAACCUUAUUUUACUCAAUUUCUUCAAUAAUUUCUUUUUCUAACUAACCACUAAAUCGGUAAAAUUUUUCUAUCAAUAUUUUCAUACGAUUUUCCUAUCAUAUUAAUUUUCAUGCAAAAAUAUUGAAAUAAAUUUAUCUUUAAAUCGGAUUUGUGGUUAUGAAACCACUAUUCCGAUAACCUUGAAUUUAGGCCAUUACACCCUCUAACCCCAAACCGUCACCGGAACAGGGUUACGGAGCAUUACUGGACCUAUCGAACAAUUUACAAUUAAUUCAAAAUAAAUUACAUGCAUAUCUUGAUUUAAUUAUAAAGUCCCUAUAAUGGACCCUCGAGGUCCAAAUCACACGUUAGAAUCGAAUCCGGACUUGUUCAGAUACUUCAAAAUAUUUUUUUUUUGCGAACUCAAUAUAACCCCUUUUAUAAAUAUCUAACCUUCCUUACAAAUUCAAAUCGAGACCAAUCCAAACAAAUCAAUUCAUGAAUUUAUACAUCUCUAAUUAUAACAAACUAAUAAUAUAAAGUUCUAACAUUUUCAUGUUUAUAACAAUCUAACAUAAGAUGUCUAAUUGAUUCAUUUAAAUUAUCAUUCAACAAAAUUACCCAAAACUAUGAUAUAGACUAUGUUUAAGACAUAUGUAAUUGUAUGAAACAACCAUUACCAUCAUUUAUCAUUAAUAUUUAUGUAUCAAAAUAACUACAAAUUACAACCAAGGUACAUGCCAUUUUCAAAAGAGAAAAAUACAUCACCACGUAUUUGAGUUCGGGAUUGACUUGGAUGCUCAAUCGUUAGUCACUUUUGUACUUAACCUGCGCAUGGAAACAAACCGUACGCUGAGUAUGCACUCAGUGGUAUUUCUAUAAACCAACACUUAAAUAAUUAUAAAAUACAUAUAUAACACUACUCAAAUUCAAUAACUAUUCAAAUAUUCACCUUUCAAUCUAGUACUCUAUUUUAUUUCAAACUCAGUAUCAGUCAUUAUUUUUCAAUAACAAUUAUUUGUUUAUUUUUAUUCAAUAAUAAUCAGUUAUUCAGUAUCAAACAAUCAAUAACAAUCAGUUAUUUAGUACAGUAAUUUAGUCAUUCAGUAAGUAUCAAAUAUUCAGUGCAGUAGUUUAGUUAUUCAAUAACUAUCAAUUAUUUAAUACAGUAAUUUAGUUAUUCAGUAACUAUCAAUUAUUCAGUACAGUAGUUUACCCCUAUUAACAUAACUCGAACCUAGACGAAUACACAGAUCCAACCAACACAUCAGUACGGCACAUUGUGCCUCAUCGACUUUGCCGAAUUAAACUGUAACAGUACGGUACUUAGUACCUCAUCCAAUUAAACCGAAGUAACUAUAACAGUACGACAUACAAUGUGCCUCAUCAACUUGAAGUCGAAGUAACAGUACGACACUUAUAGUGCCUCAUCGACUCAAGGUCGAAGUAUCCCUGAACACUUCAAAUCCUAUGGCAUGCCAAUUAUAUCCGACCCAAUCCGAUACAGUUAAUAAAGGUAUUCAAUUCAUUUCUCAAUUCACAAUAAUUAAUUAUUUCAAUAUCCAUUUCACAAUAAUCACAAAUUCACAUACACUCAAUUCAAUAUCAAAACACUAAUACUUACCUUAAUAUCUUUCCAUACACAUAUAAUAAUAAAAAACAACAAUUUAAAUGUUAAGUUCAGUUUAUAGAAAUAUAAACCGUAAUUCUCGAAUUACUCUUCAUCAACUUUCUCCUUUCCUUUCUUUGUCGAGGUAUCCGGUAUUACGUUAGCUACGGAAAUUAAAAUAAUUAUACCAUUAAUUAUAGCAUUAAUUUAUAAUAAUAAUUGAAUUUCUAUCCAAUUUAUAUUUUAGUUCAGACUCUAUUUCUAUUCAAAUUUCAUUCAAACUCAAAUUUAACUACUAAAUUUUCAACAUAUUUCACUAAUUUUGAAUUUUCCUCAAUUUAGUCCCUACAACAUAAAACUUAUAGCUUACUUCGCAAUUUAAUCCCUUUAUUAAUUCUAACUUGAAAUUCUUUCAAUUAAAUCCCUAAUUCAUCUUUUUGCCCAACAUAAAUUAUACUUGAAAACCUAUAAGCUUCUAAACUAUCAACUUAAUUUUAUCAAAACCUUGUUUUAAGACUUCUAAAAUAUCAAAAUUAAGAGAAAAUGACUUAAUUAAGCUUACCAAUUAAACUCCAAGCUUCAAAUUCCCUAUUUUCCCUUUUUCUUUCUUUUUCUUCUUUCUCUCUCCUUACUCUGCUCUAUUGCGAAAGCUUCUCUGUUCUUUUACCCUUUCCUUUCUUUUGUCUUUCUUUUUAUUCUUUUAUUAUUUCAUUUGUUUUAUUUAUUUUAUUAACUUAAUAUAUUAUAAUUUAAUUAUUAUAAAUAUCUAUCAUAUAAUUAAUAAUAUAAUACAAACGUAUACAUUUACUUUUCUACAUUUGUACAUGAUUAAUACCAUACAUUUAUCAUAAUUUUAUCUAAUUAUUUCAUAAAAAUCUUAUAAAUAAUUAUUUAAUUAAUAACUAUCUUUUUAAUUUAAUAAAAAUAAUAAAUAUCUUUGAUAUUAAGUAAAUACAUAUAUAAAUUACAAAUGUAUAUAUUUUAUUUAGUACACUUGGAUUCAUUAUCACCUUACACUUGUCACCAUUUAAUUUAUUUGUCAUAUAAAAAAUCUUAUAAUAUUAUAUAAUUAUAAUAAAUAUUUAUUUAAAUAAUUAUAAAUAAUAAUAAAUAUUUAUUUACUUUAAUAAAAAGUAAUUAAAUAAAUAUGUUACAAUUGUAUAUAUAUUAUUAUUACAUUUAUAUAUUUUAUUACCAUACAUUUAGCUUUAAUUUAUAUAUAUUUCAUUAAUUUAAUAAGAUAAUAUCAAUUAAAUAAUAAUUUAUACUAUUAUAUUCUAAUAUUAAUUAAUAAUAACUUAAACCAUUAAAAAUCUUUAGAUUUUUCUCAUUGUUUUGCCGCCUCAACUAUUACUUAAUGGCAUAUUUGCCAUUUUGGUCUUUUAUAUUUUCUUUUAAUCUAUAAUUCAAUUUUUACCCCUUAUUCAAUCUAGUAUUUCUUCCUAUUUUCUCUUAAUUAAGCUAAAUCACCUAAUUAAAACUAAUUAAACACACCACUAAACUCAUAAAUAUUUUUAAUAAUUAUUUACAAACCCAUUUUGUUAAGACGGAGGCCCGAUAAUGUACUUUCCCGAUGCCUAAUCAUUACAGAAAAUAACCAAAUUAAAGUACAAGUAUUAAAUUCAUAAUUUAUGUAAAGUAUAGGGUCCACUAGCAGAAUUUGACCUAAAUUAUAAUAUUUCCUUUAGAAGGGUUUGUUUGACCUAAAAUUAAGUACUGAAAUUUUAUUACUAAAUUUUAUAAGUGUUGAAUAUAUAUUUAAAAAUAUUUAUAAAUUAGUAAAUAUGUUAAUUUAAAUAUUUCAAUUUUUAAAAUAGUAAUUUGUUUUUUUUAAAUCAACUCAAUAUUUUCUACAUUAAAUGAUAAGUACCUACCUACCUACUUAUUUCGGCUUUUUUAGAUAAAUAAUCCAAAAAUAUUAAAAAUUUAUGAAAAUGACCCUAGUACUAGAUUAUUUAGAAAAAUGACCUAGUUUCUACAAUGUCAAUGGGUGCAACCACUUCUCAUGGCAACACACACCAAAAUGUAACGGAAUCAUUGCCUCACAAUUAAAAAAAUCAUAAGAUGAAAAAAAAUCUUUUUUUUAGUACCGCCACUUCUCAAAGCGACAACCGUAUAAAUUUUCACCCUAUUGUAUUUUUCAUGCAUAUUUCACGAAGUAAAUGAAAAAUAUAUAUAUUAUUGAUUUUUGGUGCUGCAUCCUUUAAUGAAGGCACUAAAUUGAAUAAUUCUCUUUUUUUUUUUACAUUCUUUUAAGUGGGGGCACCAAAUUGGAUUAAAAUAAAUAUUUGUUGGUGUUGCCUCCUUCAUCGGAGUCACUAAUAUUAGUAAUUUUUUUAUCUCUGGUGACUACUCUAGAUGUGACGGUACCAAUAUUUUCUUUUUGGAAUUUUUUUGUGUUGCCACUUCACAUGGAAUCUCCAAAAAUAGUGGCAACGCCAAAAAAUUUCAAAAAAAAUUCUACUACUGCCACAUCUCGAGUAGUCAUCAAAGAGAUUUUUUUUUUUACUGUUAUUGGUGGCUUCAUUGAAGGAGGCGACACCAACCAAAGCUUGGAACCAGAAAAGAAAAUUUUAUUCAAUUUGAUGUGUAAUGACCUGAAAUUCACGAGCACCGAAAAAGUGAGUUAUAGGGCCUCCGUCUUAGUGAAAUAAGUUCGAAAAUAAUUAUUAAAAAUAUUUAUGAGCCUAGUGGUGUGUCUAAUUAGGAUCUAAUUAAGUGAAUUUAGCUUAAUUUAGAGUAAGUAAUAAAAAGAAUUAAAUUGAAUAAAGGGUAAAAGUUUAAUUAUAAAGCAAUAGAAAAUAAAAAGGAUUAAAAUGGCAAUCAAGCCAUUGACUACAAAUGAGGUGGCAUAUUGGUGAAAUAAAAUCAAAGAUUUUUUUUAGGUUUUAUAUAUUAUAAUGAUUAUUAUUAUGGUUUUAUAUUAAAUUGUUAUGAUUAUUUAAUUGAUAAUAUAUUAUAAAUAAAUUAAAUAGAAGACAAUUGUAUGUUAAUAAAAUACACAUGUGUAAGAAUUGUAUGGGUACAUUUGUAAUUUAAAUAUUUAAUUACUUAUAAUUUAAGUAUAAAAAUAUUUUAUAAUUAUUAAUUGUGUUAAUUAAAUCAUGAGAUUUUUAUUUAAUAAGCAAAUUAGAUAAUGACAUUUGUAAUAAUAUAAAUAUGUACACUUGUUAUAUAAUUAUUAAUUUACUUAAUAUUAAAGUAAAAGAUAUUUUAAUAUAUUGUAUUAAUAUUAUAUUAUGUUAAUAAAAUAAUAAAGUAUAAAAGAAUUAAAGAAAUAAAGAAACAAAAGGAAAUAGAAACAGAGUUGAAAACGGGAAGCAGGGGAGAAAAAGAGAAAGAAAAAGGGAAACAAAAAUAAAAGAGAAAACUAAGGAUUUGAAGCUUGGAGUUAAUUUGGUAAGUCAAUUAAGUCCUUUUUAGUUAAUUUUGAUGUUUUAGGAGCUUUGAAACAAGAUUUUGAUGAAAUUAAGUUGAUAGUUCAAGAGUUCAUAUGUUUCCAAGUAGGGUUCAUGUUGGAAAAAUUAUGGAAUUAGGGAUUUAAUUGAAUGAAUUCUAAGUUAGAAUUGAAUAAGUGAUUAAAUUGUAAACUAGGCUAUAAGUUUUAUGUUGUAGGGACUAAAUUGAAGAAAUUUCGAAAUUAGGGAAAUAUACUGGAAAUUUUAUAGUUAAAUAUAAGUUUAGACAAAAUUUGAAUAGAAAAAGAGAGUGAAUUGGAUUAAGAAAAUAAUUAAGUUUAGUUAGGAUUAAAUUGGGAAUAAGGUAGGAGUUGUUUAGAAAUUUAAUUAUUUAUUAUAAUUAAUGCUGUAAAUAAUAAUGUAAAUUACUAUUAUUUCGUAGCCAACAAAGAACCGGAAGCAUCAGCAUCGAAAGGAAAGGAGAAAGUCAUCGAGGACUAAAACGGGAGAAUUACGGUGUGUAUUACUAUAAUUCAAAUUUUAAUUAUUAUUGAUUGCUGAAAUUUUAAUUGUUAUGUAUGGUAAAUAAGACUUGAGGUAAGUAUGUGAAAUCGAUAUGAAUAUUGAGUGAAAAUGAAAGUGAUAUAAAUUGAAUCAAAUUGAAUUGAAUAAGUGAAUUAUGGAAUAUGUGAUUAUUUGAAAAGUGUAUUGAUUGAAAAUAGAUAAAUUGUGACAAAUGUAUGGUGUUGAUGGUAUACACUUGUGUGAAAAUUAAUUUGUAUAUGAAUUAAGAUAAUAGAUAUUUGAAUUGAAUGAGUAUUGAAUAAUUUUUGUGUAAAUGAAAUUGAAAUUAGAAAAAAAAGUAAAAUAAUACCCUAUUAACUUGUCGGACUAGAUUCGAUACAAAUGGCAUGCCAUUGGAUUUGUGAUGUGAUGAAGAGAUUGUAGUUCAGUCGAGAAGAUGUUUCUAUCAUUAUAUACUUCGGUUUAUCCGAAUAGGCAUUUAAUGCCUUAUUGGUGUGUUUGGGAGGAUAUAUUAUACCGGUGUGUUAUGGAGGAUUUACAAUAUUUCAGGUGUGUUUGGGUUGGACAUUCUAGUGUGUUUGGAUGGAAUCCGCGUAUCUGUCAUAGUCCGAGCUUUGUUAAUAGGGUAAAUAAUUGAAAUGAAAUUUUGAAAAUGAGAUUAUUUGUUUUAGCACUAUUGAAAAGUACGAGAAAGAAUGUAUGAACUAAAUUAUGAAUUGAGUUAAUAUGAGAAAAAUAAAUUAUGAAUUUAAGAUUUAUGAAGUAAAAUAAUUAUAUAUAAAAGUAGUUUAAAUAAUUAUAAAAUUUAUGGUUGAUGUUUGUAAUUUAUUAAUGUUAAAUAGUCUUGAUUUAUAGUAAUACCACUGAGUAUAUCCAUACUCAGUGUACGGUUGCUUCCGUGCGCAGGUUAGUAGAAGUCAAGUGUCCUGGCUCAGCAUCUAGAACAAUCCCGACUCCAAUACAAAUUUGGUGAUGCAUAUUUUUCUUUUGGGUAAAGGUGGCAUGUACAUAGGUGUUGUUUAGUCACUUGAAUAUGUAUAUUACUUUGGGUAGUGAAGGAUGAAUUAUAAAAUUUAGAUGGUUAAAUGAAAUGGUAAGGAAAGUACAUGAUGUUUUGAUACAUGAACAUUAAGUUGUUAAAUGAAUGAAGUUUUUAAUCAAUUUUGAAUGAUGCUAUGAUAAUUAUUAAGUUAAAAUUUUGUUAAUGAUAUAAAUAUUAGUUAUAUGAAUGUGAAAUAUUGGUGUUGGUUGUUUUGGUUUGAAUUUGCAGGAGGUUUAGGUAAAAAUAAGCAGAAAUGCUGCCGAAAUUUUUAUAAAAAAAAAUUUGGAAUACUCGAAUAAGUCCUGUUCUACUUUUAAUACGUGUUUGAACUUCGAGAGUUCAAGAUAGGGACUUAAUUAUUAUAUUAUACUAUGAAAGUUAUAUUAAUUGUAAAUUAUUCGUAAGUUGUCUGAUAUGUCCGGUAAUGCCUCAUAACCUCGUUCCGGUAACGGUUUGGGGUUAGGGGGUGUUACAAUUGUUGGUAUCAGAGCUAUUAGGUUUAGCUGAUUCUCGGGCUAAAUUAGGCUCGGAAGUGAGUUUAGAAGUACAUGCCACUGUCGAGUCGAAAUUGAGUCGGGAUUUUUGGAUGCUAAUGUAUUUAUUUGAUUUUGUUUUAUAGAUAAAAUGUCAGAUGAAAGAAUGGAUAAUGUUGAACAGGAAAUGUAUACUGGAAGUCGAGAAUUAGAAGAAACUGAAUCUGUUACACCUAGUGUGAAUCCGUUCAAUAAUCAAUCUCCUAAUGUAGGGAGAGAAAGAAAUACCUCACAAGUGUUAAGAGAUAUAGCUGAUGAAUUACAGCAUAUAGUGAGAACUAUACCUGCUACUACAUCUGUACCUACUGUCAGGCAGGCCCCGAUUAAAGAGCUACGAAAAUAUGGUGCCACGGAAUUUCAGGGAUUAAAAGGAGCUGAUCCAUCCGUUGCUGAAAAUUGGAUAGAAACAACAAAAAGAGUUUUGCAACAAUUAGACUGCACCCCCCGAGAAAGUCUGAUAUGUGCUGUAUCACUGUUACAAGGAGAAGCGUAUCUCUGGUGGGAAUCUAUGGUUAGACAUUUGCCGGAUGAUCAGGUAACUUGGGACUUGUUUCGAAAAGAAUUUCAGAAGAAGUAUAUUAGGGAAUUGUACAUCGAAGAGAAAAAACAAGAGUUUUUAGUGUUGAAACAGGGGAAUAUGUCAGUACUGGAUUAUAAGCGAGAGUUCUCUAGAUUGAGCAGGUAUGCUUUAGAAUAUGUUCCAACCGAGGCUGAUAGUUGUAAACGAUUUCUAUGGGGACUACGAGAUGAAAUCAAGAUUCAAUUGGUAAGUCUCAGAAUUACUGAACUUGUUGAUCUGGUUGAGCGAGCAAAAAUGAUAGAACAAGUACUGGGUCUGGAUAAAAAAUCAGAAAUUGGUAAAUCAGCUGGGAAACGUAUGGGAACUACUAGUUCUAAUCUAUUACCGAAGAGAUUCAGAGAAUCAAGAAGUGACUGGAGAUCCAGUUUUAGUUCAGAUAGAGGUGGUAGAAGCAGAGGUAAACAGAUGACAAUAUCUACUAGUAGUGUGAGAGGUCCAUCCCGAAGUAUAGAAAUUCCAGACUGUGAGCAUUGCGGAAAGAAACAUUUAGGUGAAUGUUGGAGGAUAACUCGACGAUGUUUUCGAUGUGGGGCCACAGAUCAUUUCAUUCGAGAUUGUCCGAAAGGUGAAAGUGCCACACCUGCAACAUCUCAAAGAUCAGUACCUACUGUUCGUGGCAGAGGAUCUAGUAGGGGUGGUUCAGGUUCUGUGUCUAGAGGUAGAGGUGUCAGAAGAAACAGCGAUAUAGUUACACAACAGUCAGAGGCCAGAGCGCCGGCCAGAGCGUACGUAGUCCGGACCCGUGAGGAAGGCAAUGCACAUGAUGUUGUUACAGGUAUAUUUCUAUUGUAUUCUGAGCCUAUUUAUGCUUUAAUUGAUCCGGGUUCGUCACACUCAUAUAUAAAUUCAAAACUAGUCAAAUCGGGGAAAUUAGAAUCUGAAAUGUCUGAAGUUUCUAUAGAAGUGUCUAGCCCUUUGGGACAAACGGUGUUAGUAGAUAGAGUAUGUCGGAGGUGCCCGUUAAUAAUACAUGAUAAAAUGUUUCUUGUGGACUUGUUGAUCAUGCCUUUUGGUGAUUUUGAUAUCAUUUUGGGUAUGGACUGGUUAUAUGAACAUGGGGUAGUUUUGGAUUGCUAUAAAAAGAGGUUUAGUAUUCAGACAGAAAAUGGGAAUAGAAUUGAAGUGAAUGGCAUCCGUACCAGUGGUUCGACACGUAUUAUUUCAGCGAUGAAGGUUAAUAAAUUACUGUAGCAGGGUUGUCCAGCAUACUUGGCAUAUGUUAUUAAUUCUGAUUCAGUUGGGAGUCAGUGCAGUCAGAUUAGGACUGUACGUGAGUUUCCAGAUGUAUUCCCAGAAGAAUUACCGGGCUUACCACCUGACAGAGAGGUUGAAUUUGCUAUUGAGGUGUAUCCAGGUACAACACCAAUUUCUAUACCUCCGUAUCAAAUGUCGCCCACUGAGUUGAAAGAGUUGAAGGUGCAGUUACAAGAUUUACUAGAUCGUGGAUUUAUUAGACCAAGCAUUUCACCCUGGGGAGCUCCAGUAUUGUUUGUUAAAAAGAAAGAUGGCUCUAUGCGACUUUGUAUUGAUUACCGACAGUUGAACAAGGUAACAAUUAAAAAUAAGUACCCGUUGCCUUGCAUUGAUGAUUUAUUUGAUCAGUUGAGAGGAGCUUCUGUGUUUUCGAAGAUUGACUUAAGGUCGGGUUACUAUCAGUUGAAGGUAAAAGAAAGUGAUGUACCGAAAACAGUUUUUCGUACAAGGUAUGGCCAUUAUGAGUUCUUGGUAAUGCCAUUUGGGUUAACAAAUGCCCCAGCUGCUUUUAUGGAUCUCAUGAAUCGUAUCUUUCAGCCGUAUUUAGAUCAGUUUGUGGUGGUUUUCAUUGAUGAUAUAUUGGUAUAUUCGAAGACAGAGGCAGAACAUGAUCAGCAUCUUCGAAUAGUUCUACAAAUUUUACGAGAGAAAUAGUUAUAUGGAAAGCUUAGUAAAUGCGAGUUCUGGUUAUCAGAAGUGGUAUUUCUGGGACAUGUAAUAUCUGCAGAUGGAAUUCAAGUUGAUCCGAAAAAGAUCGAAGCAAUUGUUCAGUGGAAGGCACCAAAGAAUGUAUCGAGGUACGCAAUUUUCUCGGUUUAGCUGGGUAUUACAGGAGGUUUGUAAAUGGAUUCUCGAAGAUAGCACUACCAAUGACUAAACUACUGCAGAAGAAUGUUCCUUUUAUUUGGGAUGAUCAGUGUCAGAAAAGUUUUGAAACAUUGAAGCGAAUGUUAACCGAGGCACCAGUUUUGACAUUGCCAGAAUCGGGUAAAGAUUUUGUAGUGUAUAGUGAUGCUUCUUUGAGUGGUUUGGGUUGUGUAUUGAUGCAGGAUGGGAAGGUAAUAGCCUAUGCAUCUCGUCAAUUGAAACCAUAUGAAAGGAAUUAUCCCACUCAUGAUCUUGAGUUAGCAGCUGUGAUUUUUGCAUUGAAGAUUUGGAGACAUUAUCUUUAUGGUGAAAAAUGCUACAUCUAUACUGAUCAUAAGAGUUUGAAGUAUCUUCUUUCUCAGAAGGAAUUGAAUUUGAGACAAAGGCGUUGGAUCGAGCUUCUGAAAGAUUAUGAUUGUGUUAUAGACUAUUAUCCGGGAAAAGCUAACGUUGUAGCUGAUGCAUUAAGCAGAAAAGCUGUAAUUGAAUUAAGAGCAAUGUUUGCACGGCUUAGUAUCACUGAUGAUGGGAGUCUUUUGGCCGAAUUAAGAGUAAAACCGGUAAUGUUUGAUCAGAUUAGAUCAGCCCAGUUGGAAGAUGACAAAUUAUUGAAGAAAAGAGAGAUGGUACAGAAUGGCAUAGCAGAAAAUUUUAGUAUUGAUGAUUGUGGAUGCUUAAGGUUUCGAAAUCGGAUUUGUAUUCCAAAUACUUCUGAGCUCAAAGAGUUAAUUCUACGUGAAGCUCAUGAUAGUUCGUUUGCUAUGCACCCCGGAGGCACGAAAAUGUAUCGAGAUUUAAGAGAAUUAUACUGGUGGCCAGGGAUGAAAAGAGACAUAGUAGAAUUUGUAAGUAAAUGUCUGACUUGCCAACGGGUAAAGGCAGAACAUCAGGUUCCUGCUGGAUUGCUUCAGCCUAUUAAUAUUCCUGAAUGGAAAUGGGAUCGCAUCACGAUGAAUUUUAUUACGGGAUUACCGUUGUCAUCAAGCAAAAAGAAUGCUAUUUGGGUGAUAGUUGAUAGACUUACCAAGUCAGCACAUUUUAUAGCAGUCAGGACUGAUUGGCCGUUGCAGAAGCUUGCAGAUGUGUAUAUUCGAGAAAUUGUUAGACUACGUGGCAUUCCGAUAUCAAUAAUUUCAGAUCGAGAUCCUCGGUUCACAUCGAGAUUUUGGAGACAGUUACAUGAGUCGUUGGGUACUAGACUUAGUUUCAGUACAGCUUUUCAUCCCCAAACUGACGGACAGUCCGAACGGGUAAUUCAGGUACUAGAAGAUAUGCUUCGAACUUGUAUUAUUGAGUUUGAAGCAGGUUGGGAGCGAUAUUUGCCACUAGCUGAGUUUGUCUAUAAUAAUAGUUUCCAAUCUAGUAUUCAGAUGGCUCCGUAUGAAGCGUUAUAUGGUCGAAAAUGUAGAUCACCAGUAUGUUGGACUGAAUUGAAUGAAAGAAAAGUAAUUGGGCCGGAAUUGAUUCGUGAAACAGAAGAAACAGUCAAGAAGAUUCAACAUAGAUUAAAAGCAGCUUUUGACAGACAAAAAUCUUAUGCUGAUUUGAAACGUCGGGACAUUGAAUAUUCAGUUGGAGACAAAGUAUUUCUUAAGAUUUCUCCUUGGAAAAAAGUUUUGAGAUUUGGUCGGAAAGGUAAAUUGACCCCACGUUUUAUUGGGCCGUAUGAAAUAGUGGAAAGAAUUGGACCAGUUGCAUAUCGAUUGGCUUUACCUUCUGAAUUACAAAGGAUUCAUGAUGUUUUUCAUGUUUCGAUGCUACGAAAAUAUAGAUCAGAUCCUUCUCAUAUAAUUUCUACAGAAGAUAUUGAAGUUCGACCUGAUCUAUCAUAUGAAGAAGAGCCGGUUCAAAUUUUAGCACGAGAAAUGAAAGAAUUAAGAAAUAAAGAGGUUCCUUUAGUGAAAGUCCUAUGGAGAAAUCAUAAUGUUGAAGAAGCGACUUGGGAACCAGAGGAAACUAUGAGAGUACAAUAUCCUCAUCUCUUAUCAGGUAAAUUUCGAGGACGAAAUUUAUUAAGGGGGGAGAAAUGUAAUGACCUGAAAUUCACGGGCACCGAAAAAGUGAGUUAUAGGGCCUCCGUCUUAGUGAAAUAAGUUCGAAAAUAAUUAUUAAAAAUAUUUAUGAGCCUAGUGGUGUGUCUAAUUAGGAUCUAAUUAAGUGAAUUUAGCUUAAUUUAGAGUAAGUAAUAAAAAGGAUUAAAUUGAAUAAAGGGUAAAAGUUUAAUUAUAAAGCAAUAGAAAAUAAAAAGGAUUAAAAUGGCAAUUAAGCCAUUGACUACAAAUGAGGUGGCAUAUUGGUGAAAUAAAAUCAAAGAUUUUUUUUAGAUUUUAUAUAUUAUAAUGAUUAUUAUUAUGGUUUUAUAUUAAAUUGUUAUGAUUAUUUAAUUGAUAAUAUAUUAUAAAUAAAUUAAAUAGAAGACAAUUGUAUGGUAAUAAAAUACACAUGUGUAAGAAUUGUAUGGGUACAUUUGUAAUUUAAAUAUUUAAUUACUUAUAAUUUAAGUAUAAAAAUAUUUUAUAAUUAUUAAUUGUAUUAAUUAAAUCAUGAGAUUUUUAUUUAAUAAGAAAAUUAGAUAAUGACAUUUGUAAUAAUAUAAAUAUGUACACUUGUUUUAUAAUUAUUAAUUUACUUAAUAUUAAAGUAAAAGAUAUUUUAAUAUAUUAUAUUAAUAUUAUAUUAUGUUAAUAAAAUAAUAAAGUAUAAAAGAAUUAAAGAAAUAAAGAAACAAAAGGAAAUAGAAACAGAGUUGAAAACGGGAAGCAGGGGAGAAAAAGAGAAAGAAAAAGGGAAAGAAAAAUAAAAGAGAAAACUAAGGAUUUGAAGCUUGGAGUUAAUUUGGUAAGUCAAUUAAGUCAUUUUUAGUUAAUUUUGAUGUUUUAGGAGCUUUGAAACAAGAUUUUGAUGAAAUUAAGUUGAUAGUUCAAGAGUUCAUAUGUUUCCAAGUAGGGUUCAUGUUGGAAAAAUUAUGGAAUUAGGGAUUUAAUUGAAUGAAUUCUAAGUUAGAAUUGAUUAAGGGAUUAAAUUGUAAACUAGGCUAUAAGUUUUAUGUUGUAGGGACUAAAUUGAAGAAAUUUCGAAAUUAGGGAAAUAUGCUGGAAAUUUUAUAGUUAAAUAUAAGUUUAGACAAAAUUUGAAUAGAAAAAGAGAGUGAAUUGGAUUAAGAAAAUAAUUAAGUUUAGUUAGGAUUAAAUUGGGAAUAAGGUAGGAGUUGUUUAGAAAUUUAAUUAUUUAUUAUAAUUAAUGCUGUAAAUAAUAAUGUAAAUUACUAUUAUUUUCGUAGCCAACAAAGAGCCGGAAGCAUCAGCAUCGAAAGGAAAGGAGAAAGUCAUCGAGGACUAAAACGGGAGAAUUACGGUGUGUAUUACUAUAAUUCAAAUUUUAAUUAUUAUUGAUUGCUGAAAUUUUAAUUGUUAUGUAUGGUAAAUAAGACUUGAGGUAAGUAUAUGAAAUCGAUAUGAAUAUUGAGUGAAAAUGAAAGUGAUAUAAAUUGAAUCAAAUUGAAUUGAAUAAGUGAAUUAUGGAAUAUGUGAUUAUUUGAAAAGUGUAUUGAUUGAAAAUAAAUAAAUUGUGACAAAUGUAUGGUGUUGAUGGUAUAAACUUGUGUGAAAAUUAAUUUGUAUAUGAAUUAAGAUAAUAGAUAUUUGAAUUGAAUGAGUAUUGAAUAAUUUUUGUGUAAAUGAAAUUGAAAUUAGAAAAAAAAGUAAAAUAAUACCCUAUUAACUUGUCGGACUAGAUUCGAUACAAAUGGCAUGCCAUUGGAUUUGUGAUGUGAUGAAGAGAUUGUAGUUCGGUCGAGAAGAUGUUUCUAUCAUUAUAUACUUCGGUUUAUCCGAAUAGGCAUUUAAUGCCUUAUUGGUGUGUUUGGGAGGAUAUAUUAUACUGGUGUGUUAUGGAGGAUUUACAAUAUUCCGGGUGUGUUUGGGUUGGACAUUCUGGUGUGUUUGGAUGGAAUCCGCGUAUCUGUCAUAGUCCGAGCUUUGUUAAUAGGGUAAAUAAUUGAAAUGAAAUUUUGAAAAUGAGAUUAUUUGUUUUAGCACUAUUGAAAAGUAUGAGAAAGAAUGUAUGAACUAAAUUAUGAAUUGAGUUAAUAUGAGAAAAAUAAAUUAUGAAUUUAAGAUUUAUGAAGUAAAAUAAUUAUAUAUAAAAGUAGUUUAAAUAAUUAUAAAAUUUAUGGUUGAUGCUUGUAAUUUAUUAAUGUUAAAUAGUCUUGAUUUAUAGUAAUACCACUGAGUAUAUCCAUACUCAGCAUACGGUUGCUUCCAUCCGCAGGUUAGUAGAAGUCAAGUGUCCUGGCUCAGCAUCUAGAACAAUCCCGACUCCAAUACAAAUUUGGUGAUGCAUAUUUUUCUUUUGGGUAAAGGUGGCAUAUACAUAGGUGUUGUUUAGUCACUUGAAUAUGUAUAUUACUUUGGCUAGUGAAGGAUGAAUUAUAAAAUUUAGAUGGUUAAAUGAAAUGGUAAGGAAAGUACAUGAUGUUUUGAUACAUGAACAUUAAGUUGUUAAAUGAAUGAAGUUUUUAAUCAAUUUUGAAUGAUGCUAUGAUAAUUAUUAAGUUAAAAUUUUGUUAAUGAUAUAAAUAUUAGUUAUAUGAAUGUGAAAUAUUGGUGUUGGUUGUUUUGGUUUGAAUUUGCAGGAGGUUUAGGUAAAAAUAAGCAGAAAUGCUGCCGAAAUUUUUAUAAAAAAAAAAUUUGGAAUACUCGAACAAGUCCCGUUCUACUUUUAAUACGUGUUUGAACUUCGAGAGUUCAAGAUAGGGACUUAAUUAUUAUAUUAUACUAUGAAAGUUAUAUUAAUUGUAAAUUAUUCGUAAGUUGUCUGAUAUGUCCGGUAAUGCCUAAUAACCUCGUUCUGGUAACGGUUUGGGGUUAGGGGGUGUUACAUGAUGCCUCCAUUAAAGAAGGUGGCACCAAAAAUCAAUAUAUAUAUAUAUAUAUCUUUCAUUUACCUCUAGAAAUAUGAGUGAAAAUAUGGUGGGGUGAAAAUCUAUACGGGUGUCGUCUUAGGAAGUGGCGGCAUCCAUUGACACUAUAGAAAUUAGGUCAUUUUUUAAACAAUCUGAUACUAAAAUUAUUUGCAUACUUUUUUUAAUAUUUUUAGAUUAUUUAUCUAAAAAGCCAUAACACUUUUUUUAUUAAAAAAUUUAAAAUAAUUAUCAAACUUGUUUAAAAUAUUAAAUGUUGAAAAUAAAAAUUUCCAAUCAUUUACUAAAUACAUCCUAAAAAAAAAAUUAAAUGUAUUAUUUUAAUUAAAAGUUGAUUUUUUAUUUGGGUUGCUUUAGAAGAAAAACCUGCAAAUAAUCGACUAAACUGCUUUAAAAAAAAAAGAGUUUUCUUCAAAAUCAAUUAAAUGGAAAUAUUUUUUUUAUUUGUUAUUUAUAAGAUCAAUCAUUUCAUUACAGUAUAUUUUAUUUAUAUUUCAUUUUAAUGAAAUUAAAAUUUUAAAUUAAAUAAAUAUUAUUUAAAAAAUAUCUUAAUUAAAUUAGUAUUAAUAUUAUUAUUAGUCAUGGAUUAGAAUGAGCAAGCGGUGGUACUAAACAUUUUAUGAAAAACAAUAGAAAUUAAAAAAAAAAUUUGAAAAGCGACGAAAGGUGCCGUUGUUGGCGAAUCUGACCAACUUCAAAAAUCAAAACACAUAGUAUUCCAUAUUGACACAUGUCUAUUUAAUCUCAUGCAUGCAAAACUUGUCCUCGUCUUCUCCCUUCUUAACUUUUUCCUUUCUCUUUGUAUCUCUUGUUGUCUCUUAGCUUGCACUAGUUCUUUAAAAAGAAAAGGAAGAAAAAAAAGGUGCUUGGGAGUGAGAAUCAUUGAAGGAAAAUGUGUGGGAUUUUAGCAGUUUUGGGUUGCUCUGAUGAUUCUCAGACUAAAAGGGCUCGAGUGCUGGAGCUUUCCCGCAGGUAAACAAUCUCUAGUUCUUACCACAUUUUCUUUUCCAUUUUGGGGUCUAUUCUCUUAGCCUAUUUUAAUGUUUGCCUUUAAAAUGGUUGAAUAAUCAUUUUCCAAACAGGUUUAAAUUAUGAUAAUUUUUUGUUAUUGCUUGCAAAGGCAAGGAGAAGAAAAAAAACAGGAAUAGUAAUUUAAAGAUAGAUCAUCUCCAAACUUGGAGGAGAACCCAUGCUAUGUGGAGUCUUGAAAACAGAGGACAAAGGAACUUCGAGGAGCCCAUGCUUUAACAUUCUAAAUCAAUCAUAUACAUAUGAAAAUGGAAAAGGAUUAUAUUAAACCGAGAACACACGUGAUCUUGUAUCUUUUACCGAUUGUUCAAUGUUAUACUAACAUUUUUUCUUCAUAGUAUUGAUACAUCAUUUUGGUAAUUCUUUUAAUUUGGAGUUUAGAUUCUGGACUCCAAACCAUAAAUCCUGAACCCUUGAUCCCAUAUUUUGAAUCCUAAACCUUAGAUCAUGGACCUUAAAUUUUGGACUUUAAAUACUGAACCUUAACUUUAAACUUUGAAUCUUGAAUCAUGAACCCUGAACCCUUUGAGGUUCAAGGUUUAGGAUUGAGAGUUUAGAUUACAAAAUUAUCAAAAUGACAUGUCAAUAACAUGAAAAAAAUAUUAAAAUAAAAUUAAAUAAUUAAUAAAAAAUACAAAAUGAUGUAAGGUCCCUAUUUUAUGCAAUUCUUUCUCAUAAAAAUGAGAAAAAUAAUUUCCUUUAAAUUUAACAUUCGCGGUGCUUAGUUACUGGUAUCAACGUCGGCUAUCGGCCGAAAUUUAACAAGAAUAUGGAAAAACUAAUAGCUUAAAUAGAGAGUAAAUAAUAAGCUGAAAUAUAUAUAAUAAUUGGAUGGUGUGUGAACAGAUUGAAGCACCGUGGUCCUGAUUGGAGUGGACUCUACCAACACGGAGACUGCUAUUUGGCCCAUCAACGCCUUGCCAUCGUUGAUCCUAAUUCAGGUGACCAACCUCUCUUUAAUGAAGACAAGAGUGUUGCUGUCACUGUAAGCCUCUCUCUCUAUGUUUCAAUAGUUGUACAUCUUCAGCCUAUAUAUGAUGACUCAUUUUUAACUUUUCAAAAAUUUAAGGGCUAAUUUAUGUGGUGAAAACUAGGUGAAUGGGGAGAUUUACAACCACGAACAACUGAGGAAGAAGUUGGUAAACCACAAAUUCAGGUCUGGCAGUGAUUGUGAUGUUAUUGCCUAUCUGGUAAAACUCCCCAUUGCGAAACUUUUGAGGGAUACAACUGAUUUGGGGUGCAAUUUUUUCAAAUAUAAAAAUUGUUUCUUAAACUUGUACUAUAUUACAGUAUGAGGAGUAUGGGGAAGACUUUGUGGACAUGUUGGAUGGAAUCUUCUCAUUUGUGUUGCUAGAUGCCCGUGACAAUAGCUUCAUUGUUGCUCGUGAUGCUAUUGGGAUCACCUCCCUCUAUAUCGGCUGGGGCCUUGAUGGUAUUACAUCUUGCUUUCUCUAAUAGAAUUUAUUUUAGUUAGCCGUUGUUUUACGAUUUUGACACUCUUCAGUUCACUACUGAUAUUUAUAGUAAUUGACCGCUCGCGAUAGAAAAUGUAUGUGGGGCUUUGAGGAGACUGGUUUUGCUAAGUUGUUUUACUUGUUAUAUAUAUUCAGGUUCGAUUUGGGUAUCAUCAGAGUUGAAAGGAUUGAAUGAUGCUUGUGAACAGUUUGAGAGCUUUCCGCCUGGACACAUGUACACUAGCAAAUCAAGAGGACUCAGGAGGUGGUACAAUCCACUCUGGUUCUCUGACUCUAUUCCAUCGGUUCCAUAUGAUCCGUUUGUUCUCAGACAUGCACUUGAGAAUGUAAGAAUGAAGAGUUGCUAUCUGAAAAACAUUGGACACCUACAUUAAACCAAGAAACAAUUUUUUGUUCUUUGGCUUUCUGUAAGUUUAUCUUACGUGUUAUAUGUGAUAUAUUUGUAGGCUGUGAUCAAAAGGCUAAUGACUGAUUUCCCUUUUGGAGUUUUGCUAUCCGGAGGCCUUGAUUCUUCAUUGAUUACUUCUAUAACGGCUCGGUACUUGGCUGCUACCAAGGCUGCCAAACACGGGGGAAAGCUCCAUUCUUUCUGUAUCGGCCUAGAGGUAGUCUAAUAGUAUAGGAUGAAUCCUUUCAAGUACAGCUUUAAAGGAUUCAGUUGGUCUUAAAAUUUGCUUAUCGAUAUCUCUGCAGGGUUCACCCGAUUUGAAAGCUGCAAGGGAGGCUGCAGAUUAUUUGGGCACUGUCCAUCAUGAGUUUCACUUCACCGUUCAAGUACUGACCCAAGAUUUAGUAUUAGUUUUAAUUCAAGCAUGGGCAUCUAACUUUGCUAAUUUUCACUCCGAUGUGGCAGGAUGGAAUUGAUGCGAUUGAAGAUGUUAUCUACCACAUUGAAACCUAUGAUGUGACCACAAUCAGGGCAAGCACUCCUAUGUUUUUGAUGGCACGGAAGAUCAAAUCACUAGGAGUGAAGAUGCUUAUUUCUGGUGAAGGAGCCGAUGAGGUUUUUGGUGGAUAUUUGUAUUUCCACAAGGCACCAAAUAAGGAAGAAUUCCACCGUGAAACUUGCCGCAAGGUACUUGGUAGUCACCACUUCAAUUACCACCAUUGGAAUCCGAAAGCAAUGAUUUAACAGAAACCUAGUUUUUUUUUUUUUUUGGAUACAUUUGUCCAGAUCAAAGCACUUCAUCAGUAUGAUUGCCUGAGAGCUAACAAAGCAACAUCAGCUUGGGGAUUGGAGGUUCGAGUACCUUUCUUAGACAAAGAAUUUCUCAACGUUGCCAUGUCUAUAGACCCCAAAUCAAAGAUGGUAUGUAAACAAGUAUUAUUUUUAGUAAAAAGGACCAGCAUAUUGUUCCUAGAAAAGCUUGGUUUGUUCAUCAAUGGGAGAGAUUUAGACUGAUCAAGAAAGCUUCUCCAUGUUAUGAAUCAGAUCAAAAAGGAUGAAGGACGCAUUGAGAAGUGGGUUCUUAGAAAGGCAUUUGAUGAUGAGGAGUGUCCAUAUCUGCCUAAGGUCAUAUAACAUCUUUUUUAUUUCUUAAUUUUAGAGUUAGUACCCAAAUAAACUCUCCUCUUCUAUUUGAUGCCCUGCAGCAUAUCUUGUAUCGACAGAAAGAACAAUUUAGUGAUGGCGUUGGUUAUAGUUGGAUCGAUGGUCUUAAGGCGCAUGCUGCGGAUCAUGUAAAAACUGCCUUCUUAUUGCUUUCAAUUGAAUAACUAUCUAUCAUUUCCAUUUGUUGAUAAAUUCUAACCUACCUUAUACUUUCAGGUGAGUGAUAAGAUGAUGGUUAAUGCUUCUUGUAUCUUUCCUCACAACACCCCGAAGACAAAAGAAGCAUAUUACUACAGGAUGAUUUUCGAGAGAUUCUUCCCUCAGGUGAUUUCUGGUUUGAAGUCUUUAACUUUGUCAAUAGCAUCUGAUUGCUGAAGUGAUCAUCCUUAUUUGCUGGUUUUAACAGAACUCGGCUAGAUUGACAGUCCCUGGAGGAGCUAGCGUGGCAUGCAGCACUGCUAAAGCUGUUGAGUGGGAUGUUGCCUGGAAGAACAACCUUGAUCCUUCAGGGAGGGCUGCCCUGGGAGUCCAUCUCUCAGCUUACGCAAUGUGCAAAUCUCCUGUCCUUUAGACCUUAAUUUUUUAUUCGACCAACUCGAGUCUAGGUACUUCAACUAAUUUCGCAAUUAGGGUUGGUUAUCUCAUCUUUAAAUUAGGGGCGUUUGUUAUGAGAACUUUGUUAGAGCUUUCUAUUCCAAAAUUAAGUUUAGCUAUGACGAUGAUAGUUUAACUUUCAUUUUCGUCAGUUCUUUUGUUAUGGGUGGAGAUGUUGAUAUAUUUGUUUCCUUCUUUGCGAGACAUCUUUCCAUUCCUAACAAGGGUGACGGUAACAGUUAUGGCGGAUGGCCUAUUCUCUCCGGACCUUAUCUAACCUAACAAAUAUGUCGUUGACCUUAAUUUGCACGAUAGGAUUCUUCAUCUUAUUUUUACUUGGAUAAUGGUCCCUACCAACAAGCAUUACGAUAAUUGGAUACAGCAUUGCUUUCACAUCAACCGUCACUUUGACUUAGUUUUAGUUAUUUUUCUUAACAUUGUCAACAUCAUCCGUUUUUCUGUGUCUAGUAACAAAACGCUUAGGUAUGGAACUUUCUUUUCCAAUAUUUUUCGAGCCUUGAAGUUAAAAGUCCAUGUUGAUCUCGGUCGAGCUAGUACCUUUUAUUUCGAUAUAUCGGCUUCUUAUAGUUGUGGUUGGAUUAAACGCGAUAGUUAAUGGAUUCACAACCCCGAUUGUGUUGGUCAAUAAGCACAAGGAGCGACUGCUGAUCAACAGGAGGAAGGCGUGUCACGUGAAGAUGAUCCUCCGCCUCCGAGAAUGUAUAUUCCCGCUUUGAUGGCUCCUUUGUCUCCUUGUACCCUUAGUCUUUUUGCUGCUAUACAUGGGUUUCUCUCCGUGUUAAUGCUCAGUUUGAUGUAUUAAUCAUCUAUGUUAAUGAUCGGUACAAUUUUUUGGAUGACCAUAUCUCGGACGUUGCCCAUCGGUUCCCUGAACUUUUGGACGCUUGGCUUAAUACUCUUAGUAGUUGUUUGAUUAGAAUGUUUGUUACUUAGAUUGUUUAUUUCUACUUUGAAUGAUACUAUGUUAUGUCUCUAUUUUUCUUUUAAUGUUAUAUGCAUGUUACUAUGGAGAUGUAUAUAUAUAUAUAUUUCUAAUAUGAUUGUGAUGUGUUUUUUUACUUGUGUUAAUACUUUAACAUAAAUAUAAAAAAAUCUCAUUGUUCAAAUAUAAAUUUAACGCUUGCAUUGCACGAGAUAAAUAUUAUAUGAUAUUGUUGGUAUUGUUCUAUUAAAGGUUAUUGUUGGUUAGAGUGAAAAAAAAAGUCGGUUUAGAUCAAUUUAAUUAAUUAAUUUAUCAUAUUUGAUUUUUCCAAUUUCAAUUAAGGUUAUUAUAUUGGUUAGGUUGAUUAAAGGUUUGACUAGGUUAAUUGAUUUUCGAUUGUUGAAAUUUGUUACUAAAUUGAUUAACUUAACUAAGUUUUUAUAUAGGGGCAUAUCCAGGGAGUUGGCAGUAGAGCCCGGCCCGGCCCAAAGGCCUGCCUAAAAUGUGAGAGGGUUUGGGCAAAAAUAUAGGCUAGAAAAAUGGGCUUGGGCAAAAAAGUAAGGUCCGUUUAAAAAUGGGCCAGGCCUCGGGUAAGGCAUUUUUAGCCCGGGCCCGGCCCGAAUUUACUAAAUAAAAAAAUAUUUUUUAAUAUUAUUUUCUCCCUAUUUUGCUACUAUUUUAGUAUUAUGUUACUACUAUUUUGUUGUUAUUGUUUGGAUAUUAUAUAAAACUUAUUUUAUUGUUAAUUUUUUUAUUAUUUUAAAGACAUUUGCUACUUUUGUUAUUAUUUUAGAGACAUUUGCUUGUUAAAUUGCAUCUAUUUUAGUGUUAUUUAAGUAUACAUAUUUUUUAAAAUUUAUUUUCAAUUUGUUAAAAAAUAUUUAUUUUAAUUUUUUAUUAUUUUUGAUGGUUUAUAUAUAUUUUAAAAUUAUAUAAAAAUAAUAUAAAAAUUAAUAUGGACUUGCCAGGUCGGGCUUGGGUAAAAUUUUAGGCCAAUUUUUCGGGCCAGGCAGGGCUUGGGCCUAAAUUUUUAGUUGGGCCCAGCUUGGCCCGGCCCAUGCACACCUUUAGUUGGCAGGGCUGCGACCCCCUAAAAUAGAAAAUUAUACUUUGACCCCCUCUAAAAAUGAUAAAAAAUUAAUUUAAUCAUUUAAAAAUUACAUUUUUACUAUAGUAAAAAUUACAAUUUAAUUUUGGCCUCCUAAAAAAAUUUACUGGCUUCACUUGUUUAUAUAUAUAUACAUAUAUUGUUUAUUUUAAAUAUAUUUAUACUAUAUAUUUUUUAAAUUAAAUUCAACCCAAAUUACAAACUUAAUCCAAAUUCAAUAACCCAAUUAUUAAUUAUUUAACCCAAUCCAAUAGACCAAACCAACCCAAAUGUGAACUAUUUUACCCAACCCAAUUCAAGAUAUAAUAACCUAUGUAUAGCGCAAGCCACCAUCUCCACAUUUUCAAUUAAUAAGGAUUAAUAUCUCAUUUGGUACUUAUAUUUAGUUUCAAUAUUUAAUUUGGUAUUAGAAUUUUUAUUUCAAUUUGGUAUCUAAGUUUGGUUCUAUAUUCAAUUGAUACCCAAGUUAAACAACAUCAUGUGACCUGAUGAAUUAUUUGACAUGUCUACUCUAGGUAACAAAUUAAAUAUUGAAAUCAAACUUAGGUAUUUAUAUAUGCAAAGGCGAAUCCUUUUGAGGCCUAGGCAGCUUGGCCCCUAAAUAUUGGGAAAUCUUGAUUUUUCCCUUCAAACUUUUAGAAAAUUUUGAUUAGGCCCCUUCAAAUUUUUAAAAUUCUUAUUAUACCUUCUAUUUUAUUUUUUUUCUUUGAAAAUUAUAAUUAACUUCUCUUAAAAUUUUUAAAAAUUCUUAUUAAUCUCACAAAAAUUUCAAUUAGACCCCAAUUUUUUAAAAAAAGAUUUCAUUGAACUUCUAAUUUUUUUAAAAAAAAUUUACUACACCCCUUCAAAAUUUAGCUCCCAUUACAGGAUCCAUCCCUGCUUGUACGAGACAGAGAAAAACUAAGUAUGCAUUUGAAAAAACUCAAGCACCAUGCAUUGGCAAAUUAUUUACACUACUACUACAACUUUUACCAGAGAUAUAAUUUAUAACUUCAUAGUUGAUAAAGUUAAUUUUUUAAUAAUUUAUUUAAUUGAACCGCCUAGAUCAAUUAAAUCGGCAAAUUAAUAAUCUAAUCAAAGAGGAAUCUGAUUUUAAAUAGUUUAAUAAAAAAAAUGCCUUUGUGGGCUAACUUCUCUAUGCUUUGGAGUAUUUAGCCAGAAAAAAAAAACAUAUGAUUAGGGGGAAAAUGUCAAUAAUAUAAUUUAAUUACAAAUCAGCAAUCAAUUCAACUUUAAACCAAAUUAAGGAAGAUGGAAAGGACAAAAGAAAACACCAAUCAAUUUAUAUGAAAUUAAUUAUACGAAUAUUUAAGUGUUUUAAAUUUAAAAUUUAACAAAUUCGUUUCACGCAAAGGGAAGACAAAAAGAGUUAGGAACUGAAAUGAUACCCUUUUUUUUGCGUUAAAAAAAAGGUUAUAUUUAAAAAUAAAUUCAAUUUUAUUUUUUCCACGAAAAGAGAAAAAAAAUUGACAAUUAAUAAGUUUAGAUAGGUGUUAAAUAGAUACCUAAUUUGGGAUUUUUUUUUUUAGCUAUAAACUACAACAAAUCACUAAGCUUUUUUUAUCUUAAAAAAACCUUAAUGAACAAAAAGACUAAGCCCUAUAAUCACUUAAUAUAAAUUAACGUUUUAAUUAAAAUAAAAAUUUACUUGAAUACAGAUAAAAAAAGAUUUAUUUAAGGGUAAAAAGUAUAACUUACGGAUAAAUUUUAUGAGCAUUUUAACAUGAAAAAUGUAUAAAUAAAAAAAUAGGAGUUUUUUUUAAAAAUUUAUAAACAAAUUGAAAAUAUAACAUGUGUUUUAUAUAAUAUAUUAAAAACUAAAAAUUACAUAAAGGAAUGAACGUUUGUGAUGCCCUGCUGAUGUGUAUAAGGUAAUUUUCCUUUCAAUAUUCUAUCCCUUAUAAUUCCAAGUCUACUUCUUAGCUCCUAUCUAAUGUAUCCACUCAAAGAUUGAUUAAUUCCACGUGGCCCAAUAACAAAGAAAUUGCUACCAUCUUUUAGCCAAUAAAAUCCCAUUUUUAGAUUCCCUCCAAAUCCUUGGACCAGCUUUAUCCACUUCCUUCUCUUAACCUUCAUACACACAGUUCAAACUUCCCCCAAUCUCCCAAAAAAAAAAAUAAAAUAAAGAACACACAACAAUGGCCGCCAACACACUAAUGAGCUGUGGCAUAGCCACCACAUUUCCUUCACUUCUUUCCUCAUCAAAGUCCAAGUUCAGUGGCGCCGCCGUAUCGUUGCCUAGUGCUGUUGGUACCAAUGUUGGCCACCGUGUUAGCAUGUCAGCUGAUUGGAUGCCUGGUCAACCUAGACCACCUUACCUUGAUGGCUCAGCACCAGGGUAAGGUUUCAAAGUAGCUAAAAAAAUUAACAACAAAUGUAUUUAUAGCCAUUUUUCUUACAUCUAAAGCUUUUUUUUUUCAGUGACUUUGGGUUUGACCCACUAAGACUUGGUGAGGUCCCUGAGAACCUUGAGAGGUACAAAGAAUCUGAGUUGAUUCACUGCAGAUGGGCUAUGCUUGCUGUUGUAAGUGUUCCAUCUUUGUUAAUUUAAUUAGCAGACAAAUUGUAUAGAAGGUUCAUGUGCUAUGCAUCUUUUACAAAUUUAAUCUCAUUUAAUUAUUCAAUUCCUAGUUCAAAUUUGGGUUAAUUUUUGCAGCCAGGUAUAUUGGUACCAGAGGCCUUAGGGUUGGGAAACUGGGUAAAAGCUCAAGAAUGGGCAGCAAUUCCAGGUGGCCAAGCCACUUACUUAGGGAACCCAGUCCCAUGGGGUACCCUCCCCACCAUCUUGGUCAUUGAAUUCCUAUCCAUCGCCUUCGUUGAGCACCAACGAAGCAUGGAGAAGGACACCGAGAAGAAGAAGUACCCCGGCGGCGCUUUCGACCCCUUGGGAUUCUCCAAGGACCCCAAAAAGUUCGAAGAAUACAAGGUCA
This 68780-nucleotide long non-coding RNA is filed under the name Gossypium barbadense (sea-island cotton). Its description in RNAcentral is "long non-coding RNA (GBAR_LNC003682)". The record is from RNAcentral. Lineage: Eukaryota; Viridiplantae; Streptophyta; Magnoliopsida; Malvales; Malvaceae.